Long non-coding RNA from Meriones unguiculatus (Mongolian gerbil), 56084 nucleotides. RefSeq lists it as uncharacterized. The transcript is spliced from 2 exons. NCBI's taxonomy places the organism in Eukaryota, Metazoa, Chordata, Mammalia, Rodentia, Muridae. The record is from RefSeq and is a predicted model, not a curated record.
ACUCGGCGCGCCGGAGUUGGAGCAAAGUCGGCGGCGGCGGAGGGCGCGGGAGGCUGAGGGUUGGGAGGUGGGCAGGCUCGGGAGCUCGCACUGACCGAGGGUCUCGGUGCCGGCCCAGGGCUAGGAAGGGACGUCGCUUCUCGUUUGCAAAUGCAACAAAAUGGUACUGUUGAUUGGUUUGCCUUCGGAAAGAAGGGGUUGGAAGGACAGGGGAGGCUGCACUUUCUCCAAUCUCCUGUCCACAGCCAACUCAAACUCUCCUGUGCUGAUGAGUUCUUUAUGCACCCGGUAUGUUAAUUAGGUAGUAUCCGUGUGGAUAGGCCAUUAGGAACUUCUGGGAUCCCGCUGGCCUUCACAGCCGGGGUGGAGAAGGGGAGCCUGGCGUGGGUGAAGAAGAGCUAACUUGCCCCGGUGUGCUUAAAGCCGUAGUGCUGAAUGAGGCUUGCACGGUUGCAGAAAAAGACGCGAUUACGGAACGCACUGAGGCGGGUAUUUACAGUGACUGGGGAAAAGAAGGCUUGGAAAGAGUUACAUUGAAUGUCGCCCGUUUCUCUGAGCAAGGCUGAAUUCUGAAUCCUACCAAGCGCUGGAUUCAGUGUAUGAAAUGGAAUUUCGCCCCUAGUGCUGAUUGCUUCCUUUCUGAAGCUUAGCAGGUGGACUCUCUAGAAAGAACUUUGCUACCUCUGGGCUUCUUGCCACUGAGACUCAUGGGGCUGGUCGUGAUGGAGGGAGCCGAACUAGGUGCCUACUUAGCUAAAGGCAUCAACAAUCACCUGUGGAAUUGAGAUUGAAGGGGCCAAGUAAACCGGUUCCUUCCCACUCUUUUGGAAUGCCAAUGCCGCCUCUGCCAUCUGAGGCAGCAUUUGUGCCAGCCAGCACAGCUCUUGGACUCUCAGAAAAAAUCCACAACAGAGAACGUCCAUCUGUUGAUUAAAUGAAGGGUAAAAGUUUUCGAGAAAGCACAACGUAACCAUGGGUGGCUGCCUUUGCAAGCAAACAGCGUGUCUUCCUUGCUUCUCUUGUCAGGAGAAGCCAAAUAUAAGCAAAACCAGGGUUCCUCCUCUCUUUCCCUGGGCUUUGUUAUCACUGUAGAUUUCCCCCUUACCCGUGCAGUUCAAACUUUGCGGCCACCCCUCCUGAGAGACUCAAGGGGCCCCUCCCCCUAGAAGUAUGCUGCAUAAAGCAUGGAUAUGCAGGUUUAUAAUGAGUCCAUGCACACACUCAGAUGGUUGUGUUCAUCUCCUCAGGACUCCCUACAGCAACAUGAAGAUAAACAUUAUUUCCUCAAGUUUUCAGGCUGGGUGAACAAGAGCCAUUCGAGAAUCCUGCUGUAGAGUGAUACGUACCCAGAGCUAUGUUUCCAUGGUGAUUCUACAUCCUGUCAAGUUGGCAAUCAAGAUUAACCAUUCUACCCCCUGCAGCACCUGAUGCCUUGAAAAUACACCUACGUUUCUAAGCACCCGCAAUCCUCUCAUAUACUUUUUUACUCUGGCGAAAAUAUCCUUAACUCCACUUGGUACUGGAGGAACUGGAAUCUCAAUGAGGUUAAUUUAUUUGUCCCACAUUUAGAUAAUAGAGUAAAAAUUAAAGGGUGAGCCUUCUGUCUCUAGUCAAGAUUUCCCAGGGCUCUUCUGAGUCAGCCCAGCAACAGACUCUCACCUUCCCCAGACUCUGAGUCAGGCUUCAGUGCUCUCAGAGAAUGAAUUUCCUCUGAAUCAAUCCUGGAUGCAGUUAUUAUUUUAUAGGGAUGUUGUAAGUUGAUAAGGUAGCUGUUAUAUGCUAAUAGCUAUUGUAAUGUUGUUCUUAAGGCCUAUUACUUGUGCUGGUUUGUAUUUUAAUGUGUGCAAAGGUGAUUACAACUUUAAUAUGAAUGUUAAACAGAUUAACUGAUUUAUAUGUAAAAUAAAUAAAUAAAUGGAAACUCAUACUCUCAUUUCUAGUCAUUUCUCUCUCCCUUUCUUUCUUCCCACUCUGUCCAAAGGCUGAUGUGGUCCAUGGAGCUUUGACAAUAGGACGGAAAGAGAAUGUUUGCUGGGUGAUAAAUAGUGGUUAUAGAUGGGUCUUUUGUAACUGGAAAACUCAGACUUUGUGUUCUUAAUAGCUGCUUGUCUGAGAGUUUGUGCUUUUGACUGAUUUAAGGACUGCAGUUUUGUUUGAGCAUUGUGCAGCCUCCCCCUCCUCACCACCAUAAAAUUGUGUUAACCACUUCUGGUAAUCUAUCGAUUGCCUAGUAUACUCAAGUUUGCCAAACUUUCUGCAAAGCAACCAUUGCCCAGUGUAUCUGGAAGUAUAGGACAUAGUCCAAUAAGCAAGUGAGCAACUCAAGAGAGGCAGGGACUAAGGGACAAUGUGUGGAGUCUCUUCUUUUGGAGCAGACAGUAGGGAUGCUGGCAAGAGCUCUUGAGGUAAGCAUCCUUAUAAGGCAAAGCUCCAAGGAUGAACUGAAGUUAACUAAGCAAAUGGGCAAAGAGUGGGAUGUGGGAGCACAGAAGGAGCAUAUGGGAUAUUAUGUGCUAGAGUGCAGAAAGAGAGUAUAGCCUGUUGAAGAAGUAAGGAGUUUGGUGUGUCCCUACUAAGGGACCUAAAGGUCAUUGGCAGUAUCAGGAUUUCAUUCAUUUUCCAUAGAAUCAAAAGUCAGGAAGUUUCCUGAGAAAGUAAUGGUGUCCUGUAUAGAUGGAGAAGGACGUCUUGCAGGCUUCUCUUUAGAGGAUCAUUGCUGCAAAAGACAAAGGGAAAGAAAAGAACAAAUGUGGGUUGUUUGCAGAGAUGAUAUAGGUUUGGAUAGAAGGAUCCUAACAGUGCUCUAAACUGAAGUUUAAAAGAGGAAGAAAAACAUACCCACCUUACAGGGCAAGAUAUGACACACAGGUAAGUGAAGGAAGGAGUAUUUGUGACUUUCCAAGAAAAUGUUGGGGAAGAGGAUCAGAAGCAAUGCUGAAAGAGCGGCAUGAUUUAUUACCUACACCUAGUGAAUAAUAAUGAAGUAAUGUAGUAUGAAAGUCUAACGCUGCAGAAUGCCAGCUGCACUUACCUGGAGAUCCUGUCUGAGUUGGUAGGAAGCACUUCUCAGUGGGCCACAAUGUUUGCCCAUAGACAUACCAGAGCAGCAUAGUCCUAGUCCAGAAAUCCCACUGGGUGGGUUGCAUCAUGGGGAGAAGCUGAGUGGGCACACACACACACACACACACACACACACACACGGAGGGGAAUGGGGAUGAGUUGAAGUGGUUUUUCUCUGUUUGUGUUUUAGACUGGUAGACUGGACUGUGUAUGCUCUUUGUUUAUCCAAAGCAUCAAUUGGCCCCAGGAGCCAGUUACAGCAGGGAGGGCCUUGGCUCUUUGAAUGUGGGCUGGACGGCUCAUCCUGUUAACAUAGAAUUCCUGACAUAUUUUUUAAUUGCCUUACUGACAGCUUGAUAGCUCAGAAAGUUGGGGAGAAAAUCAAUGAGAGCCUCUGUUACUCUGGGCUUAAGUCUAACUCUUUUUCACUUUUCAACAAAUAUUUAUUGAAUACCCAAUAUGUGCCAGGCACUGUGCCAACAAGGCAAAAACCUCUUCACAGAUUUGACAGGCACUGAAUAGAUUCUUGAGAGAUGUGUGUUGAGAGAAUGCAGGGAUAAAUGAAUAAAUAUAGAGACCUUUAGAAAACACAUAAUAAUCCUAGGAAUUUGCAAUUAAAAAAAAAUAAGGCAGUGGUUGUGAUAAACUACCUUUGACAAGCUUUAGGGCAAUCACUGAAGUCCACAAAAAAGGAUGGGUGACAUAAGGGGAAAAUGCUCCAGCAAUUCACCAAGUUCAAAAACUAAAGCCUGUUUAGAUGGUACCACAUAAAUUAUUCUGACAUAGACGGUGAGAGUGUGGCCUCUGGAGAAACCAAUAUGGCUGCACAGACCCGCAGGAUCCCAGGUGUGAUGGCUACACAUACAAAAGAUGAAAGGCAAGGUACCUAGCAACAGAUGAGGACAAUAGACGGACAGAUGUCUCUGACAAUGGUGCCCAGUGACAUAGGAAAUUAGAAUGAAAUAGUCUAGCAGAAGAAAGAAAAAAAAAAGGAGAGAGGAGAAGGAGAAUCACAGGAAGUCAUGCAACUCAAGCUGUACUACAGAGCAACAGUAAUAAAAACUGCAUGGUAAUGUCAGGAAACAUUUUGGUUCUAAAAAAGAAAUAAAGGGUCAACCAGUUGCAGAGAACUUCUCUUAUCUCUUUUGCUGUUUUUUGGUUUUGUUUUGUCCUUUUUGGACGUUUUCAUUGUUGUUGUUUUGUUUUCCUACCAAUGCUUUUUAUAGUUAAGUGAGAAUAAUAAGCUUGGCACACUCACACACAUAUCACACACACAGACACACACACACACACUGAUAAUGACAACAACAAUAAUAAAUGUUUUUAAGCUACAAAUGAUUUUAAUUAGAACAACAAAUUUCAGUUUUAUACCUUAAGAAAUUACCUCCCAGGAUCUUGAAGCAAUUUGAGAACAUGAUCUAAGAAUUAAUAAAAUCUAAAAACAAAACAAAACAAAUCAGUUUUUUUUUAAGUAAAAAUAAAGUAAAGCUGGGCCAUGGUGACACAUAACUUUAAUCCCAGCACUUGGGAGGCAGAGGUAAGAGGAUCUCUGUGAGUUUGAGACAAGCUUGGUCUACAAAGUUAGUUCCAAGACAGCCAUGGUGGUUACACAGAGCAACCCUGUCUUUGAAACAAGCAAGCAAAAGGAACUAAAGGACAGUAGACUCUGAGAUAGCAGACAAGUAUAUAGUUCUAGGAAAGCAGUCUGUAAGAGAAGACUUUGAUGGUUUAUAGCUACAUCUAUGAGCACUGGAAGCCACCCUGAACUUACAAGGAGCUAGCAUCAUCUCACAAAGGGGAAAAAAAAAACAAAAACGUAUCAUUAGAAUUUCACAAUCCACCUCCCUUUGUGAUAUUGUGCUGCUACAAAUUUGAUGAACACAUCUUCUGUCAGGUGUAUUUCAGAGUCCUAACUAUGGGAGUGGGAAGCUGUGCUGUUGAAAUCUUAACACCAGCCAACAGUGUGACACAGUUACAGCCUGACUGACUUCCUCUAUAGCGGUAGUACAUUCAUACUAAAGAUGCUCACACUCUGUGGUGCCCUCUGCUGAUGUGUCCACAUCUGCAAUGGUGGUGGUUUCACUCUGAGGGUAACAUCUUAGAGAGUCACAACCUGGGAAUUUUGUCAUGGGAAAAGAUGGAAGAAUUGGAGGGUUCAUUCAGCAGCAAAAAGAAGGCAUAAGCUUCCUCCACCCAGAUUUUGAGGGUGUGCUGAAGGACCACUUGGGGUAUUUGUUCAAACUAAAGGUUCCAGGGACUUCAAUCCUUACAACUAUUGAGGGCUCAAGUCAUUAAUUGCAAGAGGAACACAGGAAAUUGUACUGGAAGAAACGUCCCAGGGAUGCUCAUAUCAGUGGUGCAAGGAUUAUGCUCUUAGAAACACCAGCUUAGAAGAAGGCUGCAUAAUUGUUCAAUGAUAUAAGCCUUGAUUCUCCAUGUGGCUGAGAGGACAGUCUCCUUAUCCACGAGUCCUGAACUUGGUCAUUUGUUACUAGUGAGUGGGAGCAUUGACUCCCACUUCUAUAUCCACCAGUUUCAAAUAUAUUGUGUGUGUGGAACACAGUAGGUAGUCGGUGAAAGUAUGAGAAGGUCAGAGAAGGAAACUGGCAAGAACAAAGACUUCCUAAGGAUGCUGCAGGCUGCCUUGUUAGGCAGCCAGCCUGCCAUCCGCACCAUCCGUCUUCUUGGGGGAGAUUGGAUAAUAAGGUGGCGGAGAUGGCAGAAAGGAGCUCGCUUUCUGGAAGAGAGGUUCAGGGAAGGUGACCUCCAGGACAUUACACAUUUCUUAAAACUCAGCCGAACACACACAAAUAUAUUGAAAAAUUCUUUGACUACUGCCCAGAGGCAAUAGAGCCAAAGAGACAUAGAAGGAAAAGAAUAAUGGAGAUGAGUGAGUGCUACAGAGAGGAACAUGGAAGAAACAUCAGAACGCAAAGAGAUGAUCAUGGAGGAGGAAGCACGUGAUACAGAGCUGCUUAGGUUUUAGACGGAGCACGUGCAGUGUGUCACAGCGUCUGUCGUUUAAUGCAGCUGCACAUGUGCAUUAAGCAGCCUCCUUGCACAGGCAGGAAGGAGGGUCUGACUUUCCUGUCCCCCACAAGUCCAUGAGUCUCACUCUUCUACUUAGGAGACCUGUGAGAGCGCCACAGGGAAGGACAUUAUCUGUUAGUAAUCAUUAUGUUCCUAAUUCUCUGAAUGCAGCCCAAUGCACAAUGGGAGUAUCCGUAAGUGUCUGAGCCAGCAAGCGGACGAAAGGGAGACACUGACAUGUAGUGAGGCCCUACUUGCCAGAGGCUACAGUAAAACUGCAUAUUUGUUACUUUUAAUUCUUCUAAACUCUGAAAAACUGUCAGUAUUCUUAUUUACAGAUGUUUAAACAGAAAUGCUGUUGAAUCAUUAGCCCAAAGUCAUAAACAUGCAUUUUUUUUUAAAAAUCAAGUCAUCUACCUCCUAAGUCUACAGCGUUUCUUAAACAUACUAGUUUCAAGAGCUUCAUUUCCACACAAUUCUUUUACUUAAGAUCAAGCAGCAAACUGACUUCCUCAAGGCCACCAUGUCAGAGUUUGUAAUGGACUGAAGUCUGGACCCAAGCUUUGAACAGGGGGUUAAGCAGCAGCCCAAACCCUUCACCACAUCAAAGCUGCUGAUCUUCGCCAGCCAGUGACUAGUUUCUGCCGGUCCUGCAGGAAGGUCAUGUUCCUUGUGCAGCCCUGAACGAUGAACGAUGGCACCUGAGGCUAGGUCAGUGUUGGCUGGGUCAGCUAGAACAUGGCUGUGUGAGACGGAUACCCUCAGUGACACCGAAGCCCUAGCAAGACCCCUCCACUUGAAAAUGGGCAGAGUUGUACACCGUAGGACAUUCAGCCUGCUACUCAGAGGUCUAUGAAUAAGAUGCAGAUUGACCCCAGCAUUCAAUUUCUGUUCUGUCUAUUUAUUUGUUUUGAGAACUUAGAUUUGGCAGUGGAAUAAGCCGUAAGUUGUGUGCUCAAUUGUUCUCCACUCUCUCUGGGUUGCGCAAUGCCUUUUAGUUAAACAAAUACAAUUCCCAUUGACUUUGGAUGGCGUCCUGCUUCAGUGGAAGGGCAAGUAGAAUUUAAGGCUAUCAACACAAUAGAGCAGAAUAUUGCUCCCUUUUUUUUCUGUCAGCUUUUAUGUGGAUGAUAGAGAAAAAUGAAAAGGAGGCUGUUUUCUUCAGCCCUUGUAGUUGUUUGUAGCUCUGCCUAGAACAUCCCUCGAGGUAAAGAGAGAAUAUAUAGGAUAUAUAUGAAGAGAAGAGGUGCGUGUGUGCGGUGUAUAAACACACUCAGGUGGGUGGGCACAGCCUCAGCCACGGACACUAAUGGCUAGCAACAGAAGCCAUCUGGCUGACAUAAAUGGAAAUGAAUAUUGGGCAGACAACAGAGUUGCCAGAAGAGUGGAAGGCCCCAGCUCUGGGGUGGUUUAGUGGUACCCCAAACAAUUGUCAGAAGGAUGGCUUCAGCCAGCUGACUCGGGUUUUGGUCUUGUCCUAGCCACCAAGGCAGCUAGGAGGGGUACUCUCACAACCUUCUCUCUCUUCUUAACAUUGCAUGCUCCCAUGGAUGUGUCUAGGAAGUGGGGGCAGAUUAACAGAGAGGAUAUCUUCAGCUUCUACAUAGAGCAGACAAGAGCGUGAAUCCCACCAAGACUAAUAGACUACAAGGUUUCUCCCAAGUGUCAGAAGAAUGAUUACUGUUGAAAGUCAAGGGGAAGAAUAAAAGGUCACCACUAGCACACCUGGAGGACUUAGUAUCUUUGGGGUACCCUGGUGUGGACGGGCCACCUCUCUUUCCAUCUAGCAAGGAGGUGCAUAUUUAUUAUACAGGGUAUUUUAAAGAGGGGGGGAAAAACAGGUACCAAGGCAUCAUGUCCACCAGCUUAGCUGGAGUUCUCAACUGCCCAGAUGAGAGAUGCCAGAGGAAUUUUCAUGUCACCUUUGUGCCACUUCUGCCGCCGGGGUUUUGAUGACCAGCUGGAGGAAGGGUCAUGGGACUGUAUCACCGUUAAUCUGUCUGUCUCAGGCUGAUUGAAUCUCUGGCUUUUCUCUGACCUCACUAAGUUCAGUGGCUGGCCAUGCUGUAUGUAGGUACUCAGCCCAAAUCACCUGUAUCAGGCGUGGUUGGAAAUUCCUGGAAAGAGAAUCAUUAGCAUCUUUAAACACAAGCAAGGAGGGCUCAGGAGAUACUUCCUGAGGCUUCCUGUCCAACUAAACCAGUCAGCUUGUUCUAGGCCACUGAGAGACUGCUUUAAAAAUAUAACAAAAAAGGUGAACAGUAUCUGAAAAAAAUGACAUCUGAAAUUGUCCUCUGCCCUCCCCCACAACACACACACCUGCACACAUAGGAACACACAUACUGCACACACAUUUUUUUUUUUUAAAGACACCAAGGAUAGUCUUGGUGUACCUUGCUUAUUCUGGUCAGGCAUGCUGAUAGAUGACAAGUACCUUCCCUUACAAGCCCCAAGCAGAAAUGUCCUGGUUCCUUCCUGAAUGACUCCCCUCCUUAAGUAUUAUCCUACUUUUCGGGUUGCAAACCUCAGUAAGAAAAAGACUCAAUGAUACCAAAGGUCAAAUUACAGCCUGGGAAAAGACUACCCAGAUCAGAACAUAAAACCCAGUCCAGUUCCCAGCAGCUUCUUCAUGUCUCAUUUCCACACCUAAUUGGCAUCGCUUGAGAAUUUCCAAGCAAUUUGUAGUGAUUACAGUCUUUUAGAUAGGGAUCAGUAUUCUGAGGUGAUAGCUAGGAAAACAGUGGCACCGGAAGCUACCUAAGCAACCCCUCAUCAUUCAAGAAUCAGACAGGUAUCUUGAUGAUUUUCUACAAAUGGUUUAAGCUUCAAAACAUUGCAUUUCCUAGUGUUUAUUCAGUUUUGCUUCUGGAAUUUAUCUCACUAGAAAUGUAAAUAAUCUUUUCCAUUCACAAAUAGUCAAAACCCACCUAAAUAAAAAUCUGCUUUGUAAAGGAGGAUGGCAACAAGGAGCCACUAAAGGAGACAAAUCCAGCAUGCCGUGUGUGGUGGGUGACAAGCAAAAGGGAGAUUAAAAGUGAUGCCCAGUUAAUGUGUUAUAUCCCACAUCCUGGAAAACCCUUUGGCACCACUGUCAAGGAGCUGACCUCACUAGAUGGGAAAGAGCAUGAGGGACCACAGCGGGGGGCUCCGUGCAUUUCUGAGUGUGGUUUCCUCAAACCAUAUACAUCUGGUGGUCAAUGGACCACUUCACAUCCUCUCUUAAAAAUAUAACAAAAAACUCUCUUGCGGAGUUCCUACUGUUUCUUGGAUGCCACUCUGGGUUCCAAGAAAUAUUAUUUUUAUGAUAUCAUUGUUCUGAUAAAUAAAGUGGGCCCCUUUUUUUAGUCUGUGUAAUUUUUCUAACCGGGGAUGUGGCCAGAAUAUUCUCCGCUUGUCAUUUUACAAGCCAGAAAAAGCGCUGCAGUCCUACUAUCAGUGAACUCAGUGGCAAUUCAGUACCUGAAUGAGCAAAGAAAAAAAAAAAAAAGAAAGAAAGAAAAAAGAAAAACGGAAACUUUUUGUAGUUUAAUACCUAGUGAAAAUCACAUUCAUUUAGAUGAUAGUAUGACUAGGAAGACUUUUAGAGAUUCUGGAGGGCUGACCAUGUGCUUUGGGGAAAAAGGAAGGAUAAAGAUUUUUACUAUUGGUUACUUUGUGUUUGAUUGUGUUCCAACCCUAUAGGUUACAACUAACUGACACAACUGCAUUCUGUAACCUCACACUUACCUGUCAGUAUACUGUCAAUUAGAAGAACAGGGGAGACCACAAGUCAGGAAAUCCCCAAACCCUCAGUCACGUUAAGAGGAGUAAACAGGGUGUGAGUAUGAAAAGCAGAGUAUCCGGAGUAGAAUUACCUUGUUAAGGAUGCUUAAAAUAUUGUUUAAUUUAGUUUGUUUGUUUAUUACAAUUUAUUCAGUUUCUAUCCCUGCUGUAGCCCCUCCCUCAUCUUCCACCCACCCUCCCUCUUCUCCCCCUCUGCCCUUUCCCUAGUCCCCUGAUAAGGGAGGACCUCCUCCCCUUCUAUCUGACCCUAGCCUAUCAGGUCUCAUCAGGGCUGCCUGCAUUGUCUUUCUCUGUGGCCUGGUAAGACUGUACCCCCAUGGGGGGUAUGAUCAAAGUGCCAGCCACUGAGUUCAUGUCAGAGACAGUCCCUGUACUCCUUUUUAGGGAACCCAUUUGGAAACUGAACAGCCUAUGGGCUUCCUCUGAACAGGAGGUCUAGGUCCUCUCCAUGCACAGUCCUUGGUUGAUGAAUCAGUCUUUGCAGGACCCCCUGGACCCAGGUAAUUUUGGCUGUUGUUCUCCUUGUGGAGUUCCCACCCCUCCAGGUCUUUCUGUCUCUCUCUUCUUCCAUAAGGUUUCCUGCACUCUGCCCAAAGUUUGGCUACGAGUCUCAGUAUCUCCUUCGGUACCCUGGUGAGAAGAGUCUUUCAGAGGUUCUCUGUGGAAGGCUCCUUUCCUGUUCCUUGUCUUCUCCUACUUCCAAUGUCUAACCUGUUUGCCCUUCUGAGUGAGGUUUCAGCUUCUUCACUAGGGUCCUCCUUUUCAUUUAGCUUCUUUAGGACUAUAGAUUUUAGUAUGAUUAUCCUAUAUUAUAUGUCUAAUAUCUACUUAUAAGUGAAUAUAUACCAUAUGUUUCUUUCUGCUUCUGGGAUACCUCAUUCAGGAUGAUUUUUUUCUAGUUCCCACCAUUUGUCUGCAAAUUUCAUGAGUUCCUUGUUUUUAAUUUCUGAGUAGUGUUCCAUUUUGUAAACGUACCACACUUUCUAUAUUCAUUUCUCCAUUAAGGGACAUAUAGGUUGUUUCCAGAUUCUGGCUAUUACAAAUAAACCUGCUAUGAACAUUGUUGAGCAAAUGUCUUUAUUGAAUGGUGGGGCUGGAUACUUAAAAUCUUGAUGAGGGAGAUUUCCUGAAGGGCCUUAGAUGGUUUCAAGGAGACUGUAUUUCCUACUUAGCCCUGUAGGUGGCAGUGCCAAUUUAGGGUAGCUUGGCUGUUCUGUGCCCGGUAGGGGUAAUCAUGAGGGUAGGGUAAAAUAUUAAUUAUGCUAAGUGGUCUUACUCAUAUUGCGUUAUCUUAACCCAGGUGGAUCCUCUCAUUUAUCACAUCAAUAGAAAACUGAGCAUCUCCUUAUUGGCUUUUCUGGAACUCCCUGCCGUAUUGCCUUUGCUGGAACUUUCUGCCGCUCAGUGCGUGGGUGAGACCCAGCACCUUGUGAGGGCACAAAGUAUGGGGAAGGCAGGGGAGGGGGGAGCAAACACUGAGAGGCCCUAAACUGCCUGCUUCCUCUACACUGGAAGCUGGGAAGCAUCCAUCUCUUGCUUGGAAGUGUUGCAAAAAAAAUGAGCUGUAUGGUCAAGUGUCUCCUAGGUUAGGUGCCACAGAUGGGAUUGCUAUUGACAGUGGCACAAGGAACCUCAUGACACCAUCUUAGCUCAUGGAGCUACUUUUAAAACGACCCACAUGUCUUUAUUCCAUGGCUUCAUUGUCCUUGAACAUGCCUCUUUUGAGUAUUUCUGGUGUUGCUAUGAGCCUGCUUGAUUUGUCCUAAACAAACAGGCACCAUUGUCACCUUCUUAGCAUCCACCCUGUCAGCACCCCUGUCUCUCACCUCCCUGGUCACACCUACCUAGCUUCCCAUGCUCCCUUCGAUUCCCCCAUUUCCUGUAGCUUUCUCUACCUCUCCUGAAGCUCUGCUAGAAUUCUACAUUUACCAGUACAUUACCUGUGCCUGCCACAUCACACAGACCUGCCCAGACCUCCCCACAAAAAGCCCCUUCCGUUGAAGAGCAGCUGCCUUGAAACCUGUCUUUGCAUUCCCUGUGGGCAAAGAAGACAUUUAGUACAUGUUUAUGGGGUAAUGAAUAAGUGAACAAUUCCCAUCUCCUCACCUCUUGCCCACCCCAAACUUUUUUUUUUUUUUCAUCUUCACUGAAAGUGCAUGUGAGAUCUGGUCAUGGUGGUGCACACCUUUAAUCUCAGCUUUUGGGAGGCAGAGAUAGACGGAUCUCUAUGAGUUCGAGCCAGCCUGGUCUAUACAGCGAGUUCCAGAAUAACCAGGGCCAGAGCUACACAAAGAAAACCUGUCUCAAAAAAAACCAAACCAAAAAAAAAAAAAAACAAAACAAAAACAAAAAUGAAGAAAGAACGAAAGAAAGAAUGAACAAAAAAAAAAGGAAGGAAAAUGUUUGGGGGCACCUGAACACCUUCCUUCUGAGGUCUACUAGAGGCUAAAGCAGGGUUUCACAGAUGAGGGAACCAAAUCUGAGAGGUACAGUCUCUCUGCUAGUACCACACAGCAAACUUUAUGUCAGGCUAGGGAUGGGAACUUCCACUUUCUGCCCUGACACCCAUUUCCAUCAAGACUUCCAUCCCUACUGUGUGUGUGUGUGUGUGUGUGUGUGUGUGUGUGUGUGUGUGUGUGUAGUUCCGGAUCUGUAGGCUCCUCUGAGAGCCCACUCCAGGAAUGCAUGACAUAAGGGGGGCAUUGUAAUUGAUGGGCUAAAUAAAUGUAGGCUCUGCGUCUUUGUCGGAGAGAAGCUUUCUUCAGGAGGGGCUUUACGAGUUUGACGGGGUGCUUGUAAACAGCAGCGAUUUGAAUAGUUUCUCCAGCACACUGUUAACAUUUAUAUGUGGCCCAUUUCAUCUGUAAUCUCCUUUUACAAGGCGCUGGUGAGCCUUUGAUGGCAACAGCGAAUGACCCAGGCGGCUUCCUUCCACAUGUUCAAACUGAGAAGAAAAUUUGGGAGGAUCUAAGGUUCUCAUCUCCGUAAACAACCCAGACCCAUCGACUGAAAUUGCCCAUCUCCAUCUAGACACUGAACUUCUGCGGCUGCUUCCCACUCUCUUCCUUUCCUGUUUGCCAUUACCCUGCUCUGGUUAUUGCCCGCAUCUGGAGUGUGGCAGCUGCCCUGUAACGUGCAAGCUGCGGUAUGCAAUUUGGAGAACUUGAAUACAAAUAUCUGUUAAUUAAAAAAAAUGCAGGAGCGUGUUUGUCAGCUUGUAAUUAUGUAAACAGGAGUACCAACUCCCAAACUAAUUUAAAAAAAAAAAACAAAAAUAACUUUACCAGCGGCUUUACAAAAGAUUCCACGUCUCUACAUGGAGCCACUAACUUUCUUCAGAGAAUCCCAAAAGCCUUUGCAAAUGCCUGAGGUGUCUCCAGGGGUGACAGGUUGGGUUAGUAGCAUAAGUAGGAAAACAGGACUGGGGUGACAGUUUUGUGAUCUGAUUCUCUUGUAUACCUUCUGAUGAUGAGACAUAGGUUUUUCCCAGUCCAAGCACUGUUGACGUAGGCAGGAUAAUGCUGUCACGGAAAGUGUGGGAAGGCAGCCUAUUUGGCCUCUUCCACUACAAGUCAGUAGUGCCCACUCCCUCAUUGGUUGUGACACACAAAAAUGCCUCAUGGAACUAAAUUGCCCUCAGGUGAGGACCCCUGUCAUUUUUAUUUGCUGUAUAAUAUGCAUGGGUGGACAUUCUGAGUUUAUGACCCUGGCUGGGUACUGGCUUUUCUCCAUGUUUGUCUCCUCAUCUCCCACAUGGAUGUGAUAAAUCCCACAAUGGCAUUUCACGGGGUUGCCACGAAGAUCAAAUAAAAUGUGGAAGAUUUUCAAGCACAGGAAAGGACAUUUGGAAGGUGAGGUUUUAUCAUGGUUAUUGUUGCAUGAUGGCCCCUAAAGUGCAAGGCUGGCCCUACUCCUGGAAAACAGCCUGGCGAUUUUGACCUUGGGAGUAUGGUGCUUUCUAGCUCCCUGGAGAGGCAGUUAGAAUUACCUUUGCACAUGGCCAAAGAACACACAGGAAAGGCAUGCUGCACAGGAAAAGCUAAGGGAGAGAAAAUAUUCUACAGACACAAAAGACAAGACUGGAUGAGGGGCUCAGCCUCCCCUCCAGGGAGACAGGGUAUCCAAGCUACUCUGCUGCUAUUAGUUUGUGUAAAAGGGCAUUUUAGGUUCCCGUUUCAUAAUUUUAAAGCCUUUUUACUGUAUCAAAAUAUCACAUUGUAUCCCAAAACACGCAUUAUUAUUACUUAUAAGUUAAAAAAAAAAGUUUAGAUGUCUCAUAAAUUAGGAGCACUGGCUGCUUGUCUGGAGGACCCAGCCCCCAUGGAGCUCACAACCAUCCGUAACUCCAGUUCCAGGGAAUUCCCAUGCCCUUUUCUGGCUUCUGCAGGUACCAGACUUGUAUGUGGGAACACAUAUAUUUAGCCAGGCAAGAAAGACAGCUAAAUACAUAAAAAUAAUAAAAUAUAAUAAUAUUUUUUUAAUUAUUUUUAAAUUAUUUUUAAUUUAUAUCUUCACCUUUAAUCCCGAUAAUGCAGUAUUUUUUUCAUGAAAGAAUAAAGAAGUUGUUAGUUGUCUGAGAAGGCAGGUGAUAUCUUGAGAAGAUGGCUUUUCAAUGAUCUUCUAGCUCAAGAAUUCUGAGGCUUCAAGCCAGGUCCUACCCUUACCUAAUUAGGUUUUUGGUGCUCAAAUUCUUUAAUAACCAUAGCUAUCACUUUUUGAGGACUUUUCUAUCCAGAACAUAAGUUGAUCAGUUCCUAUUUGUUAUCUAAUCUUCCCCACAGGUCUAUAAAGUAUGUGUGUUCCUAUUUUGCAGAUGGGAAAGCUGACACAUAUGUCACCUGCCUCAGAAAACACCUGUCAUUAUGUCAGCAAAGCAGAUAAAGAGAAGGGUCUGAAGACUCAGAGAUUCCAGGGCCAUAGAGAGCAGGUCUACUUCACUAAAGCCAUUUAGCUUUAGGAGAGACAGAGUUCAUUUGUUGGGUGAACCCUUGGGGUCCCCUGGUCCACACCCCCUCAGCCUCAAGUGUGAAGGCCAAAAGGUUUAUAACAGUUUGAGAGAUUCCUACAUUGCAGACAAUAAAAAAGAAAGACAGGCAGGCAAAGCUGACAGCCUGAGUGUUGCAUAUACAAUCAAUACAUCCAAGACAACAGUUUCUGCAGAAGAGCGCCUCGCUUAUUCAAGUCCCCUAGAGACGUACACUGCUCUGACAGUCACAGAAAUCCUGACUUGAUACAGAUCUUUCAUCUUCAGCCGGCUUCCCAGCUUUUUUAUUUUAUAUUAUUAAAUAUUAAACCCUAUAAACAGGUUCAUUUGGCUGUCCAUAUUGCCCGUCAGAUUGCCCUUUUGUAAGUAUUUCUAGAGGUACUGGCAUGCCUUGCUUCCCCGGGCAAUGACUGCAAGCUCCAAAUCCUACUGUAGGAUGAAGCAAGUCCUACCAAAGGACUCCUCAGUCCCCCUUUUCAGGUCCUGGCAUUAGCUCUGCAGUUACGUCUCCCCAAGUCAGAUUGUUUCCUUUGAACAUGCUAGUCAUGUUAUUAAAAUUAUUUCUUUCCUGCAUCAGAUUUAAAGCCUGUUGAAAUAAUUUUUUAAACUCUCAAAUUUUGAAGGGUGAGCCCUAUCCCCUCAAAACUCUAGUGUGUGAAUUUCACAAACCACACAUUCCUGCUCCUGACUUGAUAUCCAGCAAGCAUCCAAGCAUCCAGCAACCCCUGUUUCCCCCCUGUCGUUUGCUGUUUCUCUGGAAUUGCUCAUUAUUUCCUAAUAUUGAAUAUCCAGAGAAAAACAUAAUUAGAGCAGCAUGAUACAUGGGGAAAUAAUGUAUUCUGAAGGCAGAAGGAAAUAAGAUCAUUGAGCUGGCUGAUGUUUCGAUUGUCCAGGGCUCUGUCCUCUCCAAUAGCAGAGAGAACAGAAACUUGGGAAUACCUGACGGUAACAUAAUUGCAUCGAUGCAUCCAGCUGUGAAUGACUUUGGUAUUUUUUAUUUCAAAACGUUUCUAAGUCUCAGCACUCCAGGACCCCAUAGUAAAAGACAAGGACCUCCUGAGUAUUGGAAUCUAGUAACUAUUGUUCAAACAGAACAAUAGACCAGGAACUGUUUCCUCCCAGUGACUUUGGCCUAACCAUCGAUGUACUAUCACUUAAGAGUUGAGUGCUAAUGUUCAAAAGUAAAAUUUAUGAUGUGUGAACAUUCAAAUCAUCCCUGAAUAAUCAAUACAGAUGACCAUCCCACAUAGGUUUGUUGACAAUGGGUAAUAAAUUAACUAAAUAAACUCAUUCAAGUGGGUUUAUCAUUUUACCAGGGAAUUUAAUCAAGACACUCUCCUGUUAGAUCUUUGCUAGCUUCUCUGACACCCAUCGCAAAGCAUCUUUAUGGCCUAUGCUGUGCUUCCUGUGGCCUGGGCAAAAAUAUUAACCUUUUCUCGACUUCAAGGAUUAAGAUGUUGAGUGGGGAGAGCAACAUGUUUAAACAUCUGGCAGAGGGUGAGGCACUUUAAUGAGGGUUUGAAAAAGACUUUGAACAUGAAGUGCUUAUGUUAAUAUUGCUUUCCAAUGCCCUAGACAGUCUAAUAAAAUGGCAUCUUAAUCUAUGUCACAGCUAAUUCAUUUUGGAACUGAGUCUACCAUAUACAGAUUUCAGUGUGGGGGUCACUGUGAAGAUUUCUUUGCCUUGGCGGCAAAUAUUGACCUGAGUUUCCAUCAAUAUUUACCUUUUGAGUCAAUAAAUCUGUGUUGACCUUGAUAAAAAGUCAACAUUUCCACCACAUCUCAAAGUCUUCCUCAUCUGUGCAGUCUGUCACUUAACUCUCUUCUAAUAAGUCUUUAUUUACAGGAGCUAUGAUGCAGCUGUUGGCAUGCCCUCAGGGGUGAAGCUGCAGGGCGUGUCCUUAGGAAUUUGUGUAGAAAUGCUGAAGUGAGAAUAUCAUAGUGCUUCUAAGUGAAUUUUUCAUACUAUGUCCUUAUACUCUCUUCCCCCAGGAAGGGGCUUUCUCAGAGGUUCUUUCUACUUACUGUAGCAUAAAAUGCCAAGCAGGCAAACUGCUAUCAGAGCUGUCAAAUUGGACAGAGGCAAGAAAGAAGUUAUGUCCAACUUGGGUAUAGAAAUAAGACACUGAACCCUAAUCUGGCCACCCUGUGGUCAUCAGUAAUGCUCUUCAUAACUAGACCAUGCAUGGUUCCGAACCACAAAUGCCAAAUGGAUUCUGCUGGUUCACAGGCAGAUUGUAUCACUCUAUAAUUGUUUCUUUAUUGAAUAGUUAUUUGAGAAACUGCUCUCUGCCUGACUUUGAAAUGCAUUAUAUUCCCUUUUGCACAAAUAAAAUUGUCCUCUCUUCAGAAUCCUACCAUUGCCCAACAAACUUGUUAGAAGUUGAGAAUCUAAAAAGGCAUAGUCAGGCUCCUAGUGCUAAAGGGACAUCCUAUAUUAGAUAGAUACAGUUAAGUUGCAUCUUCAUUUUUUUCUAUAUCUCUAUACACACAAAGUCUUAUGCACAUACUAUUUUCAUAUGCACAAGGACGGGUUGGGAAAUGGCCCAUUUCAGUCACUUCCAGCCAUUUGCAAACAUGCUACAAGCAUCAUGUCAUUUGUGGCUACUGGGGACUAGUCAAGGAGGUUGUAUUGGUUGAAGACAUAAGAAAUGUGUACCCAAUAGUGGAACUACCCACCUUGGGGGACAUAUGGAGAAGAAGGGGGACAAGGACAGUUGGGAAAUGCCAAAUCAAUAGCACAGCUGCUGUGUUCAUCAUGUUUUGUCUUUGGGGUUUGAAUUUAAUUGCUCUCCAUAUAGAUUCUAGUAGAAAAAAUGGUUCAUCACAAAACAUUUUGCUUAGAAAUGUUGCAUAGAUAAACAGAUUUCUAGAGUAAAUGUAUGUAAAACUCAAAACCCUGCCCAACACUCCUGUAUGAUAAAUGAGACUUUUUUAUGCAUUUCCCAUUGAUUUAUCUGCUUUUAAUGGGCCCAUUUGCAAGCAGCAGUGCAUCCAAACUCUAAAGGAUAGUGUGUGUGUGUGUGUGUGUGUGUGUGUGUGUGUGUGUGUGUGUCUGUUUGGUGAAGAAUGAUAAAGAGAAGGCUGGCACUUUAUUUAUUUCAGGAAACUGUUAGAAGGCUGACUCUCUCCAACAACUUCCUAUUAUUUUAUCAGCACUAUCAGCAAUUCAGCCCCAAAAACUCAUUUUUCAUUUGCUUAGAUAUUUCCAAACAGUUCAGAAAAAAAAAUACACUGAUGAGAUGGAAAGGAAGGGGCUGGCUCUAGAGUGACACUCAAGUUGGGUCCAUUCUGCCUGAACUUUUGGCUUCCUCUUCAGCUUUCUGUGCACAAUUUUCAGGGCAUUGUGGGCUGCAUCUUUUCCAAACCACAGCCAGCUCAGCAUUUCAGGCUCUGGACGGUUGGCAGCUGCCUGGAACCAUGAUUCCAAUCAAAUCCAUCUUCAUGACUUAGAUUAAUUGAGCUCCAGGAGUUUUGCUCUGUUUUGGUCCUUUGACCCAAAGCCUUGAGAUCGCAGGCAGUGAGUGAUCUGACAGUGAAGAACUUAAAUAUACUCAUGGGACUCCUUAGAAAGACUGGGCUUGCCUUAGUCCUUGGCUGGAUUUCUGAAAACAACAAACAGAAAAGCAAAACCAGACAAACAAACCGACCAGCAUCUCCUCCAACAGUUCAUCCUGGCCCACAGGGGGUCGUUAGAUGUUAGCUACCCUUCUUUGAAGAGACUUGUUUGCUUCUGUUUCCUCACUUCAAAUUUAAUCAAGGAGAAUUUGCCUUUUAUUUAUUUCUGAAACCAAAUUAACUUCUCUUUCUAUUUCUUGUCUCCUGAGUCAGGCUAAGUUUCCCUUAUAGGCUCUGCCUCCUUCCUGACACCCCACAGAUCGCCAAACAAACAUCAUUCAUUCAUCAAGUCAUUCCUUCAGGAAUCAGCUAUUAUUAAGUAUUUGCUGUUUGCCAACCUCACAGCCUGAAAGUGAAGGGUUGAAAGAAUGGGUCCCUGGUAAUUUCUACACAGAACAAGUACAGAAACAGACCUCAAAAGGCAAGUUUCUGCCAACCUUGGUCAUUAACUCUGUUGACAGGAGGAAGUCAAGAAUGGCCUAAGGCUCUGAGAGUGGCUAUAGUAAGGACUGUGUAGAUUUGAGAGCAGUCAGAAGUGUGGGGGGGGGGGGAGGGGAGGUUGUCUGCUCUAGAACUCCAGACUUCCAGUGGAUUUAUCAACAUCAAGAGGUACAGCCCAACACUGGUACCUGAGUAGGAUGUGGGACAUACUCUCCUGGGUAGGAGACAAGAAUCAGCUGGGUAUUGAUGAUGUUAUUGUCUUCUUCAGACAAGAAGAAUGAGGAAGACUUCUGAGAUACCCAAAGGAGGGAUACCAAGAUAAUGGUUGACUAUGGGAUUGGCAUUUCUGAAGUGAUCUGGAACUAAUGAUAAAGUUUGGAAUUUUGUGAAAUAAAAACUGAUUAUUGGAGGGCUGGAUGGAUGGCUCAGCUGUUAAAUGCCAAGGCUAUACAGCCAAGAAGACAAAACUGGUUGUUAUAGUCGUGGUGGCCAGUAAUAUUCAUUACUUAAGUGAAUGUGAAAAGUAAAGAGAAAAAUGUCAAGAGAAAGCCACAAUAAAAAAAUAACAUUUGGAGAUAAAUGAAACCAAUCGUGUGUGUGUAUGUGUGUGUGUGUGUGUGUGUGUGUGUGUGUGUACGCACAUGUGUGUUUAAUGCAGAGGGGGUCAUAUAAGAUAGAUUGGCUGGUUGAUCAAUAGGUGGAUGGAUGGAUGGAUGGAUGGAUGGAUGGACAAACAGAUAGAAAGGUAGAUGAUAGAUAGAUGGUAGAGAUUUAUUAUAAGGAAUUGGCUUAUAAGUGAAUAAUUGAAUAUAGAGACUAAAAUGCCCAAACACUGAAUAGCUGGAAACUAGAGACAUAGGAGAGCUUAUGUUCUCUGAGCCUUCAUUUGAACCUCAAGAAGAGCUGAUAUUUACAGUAAAGGAAAUAUGAGUGUCCAUGCUCAAGGCAGUCAGACAGGAGGCCUUCCCUCUAAAUGAAGACAAGGAAGGACUGAGAGACAGGGCUCAGUCCUUUGUCUCACUCAAGCCUUCCACCUGUUUAGACACUGUUUGGAAACACCAAGAAGACAAUCUCUUUCAAUCUACUGAUUGAAAUGCUGAUCUUAUUCAGAAAUAGCCUCACUGAGAUACCAGGAAAAGUCUAUCUAGAUAUCUGUGACCUAGUCAAGUCCAUAUAUAAAAUUAAGCACCACUAGGAGUAGGCAGUGGAGAAAGAAGCGAUGUAGAAGGCAGUAGAAAAAAAAAAGUAAAAGAAGUGUCUCAUGUGUGUGGAUAACCAUCUAACCCAUCUUAACCACCCUUUCUGGAAAAGUUCUGUAUUUGUGAAGUUGUAUGUGUUUUAACAUAAUGAAGCUGAAAAGCCAUGCGAGAACCACGGUAAGAGGUACUGUAGAUGUGUUCACAGAUGAACUGUCUUAUACCAUCAAGCUUGAUGAAAAGUUAGGCAAGCCCACUGAUAAACUGGGACACAGUGUAGACACGCCUUUGGGGUAGGAACAGGGACUGAUAAGUUCUGGUUAUAGCCACACAAGUCUGUGUGCCUUUGUUAACUGAAGUCUCUUACAAGGCCAGGGGAGAAAGAUCCAAUGAGCCAGGAGAUGGGAGGUGGGUCCAGAUGGAAGAAAUUCCUACAGAUGCUUGCCCAAAGUCAGAUAGAUAGCAUCUCAGUGGAGAUCCGGGCCAUGAAAACUCAUUUAGGGUCUGGCUUCCCUAGGAACAUCCCAGUGCUUCCAGCUUUCUUUGUGCGUGAUCAAUGUUCACAAUCACACAAUUAUUCUUUCCUAGUCAUACUCCCAGAUGUCUCUAGGUUUCAUUAUUUUUUUAGCUUUUUAUUGCUGUUUUUGUGAAUUUCACAUCAUGCACCCCAAUCCCACUCAUCUUCCCUUCCCUCCAUACCUACCUUCUGUCCUUGCAACCUCUUCCCAAAAAGAAAACAAAAACUAAAGAUAAAAAAAAAAGCCAAACAACAAAACAAAACAAAAACUUGCCAUGGAAGCUGCAGUGUGUCACACAGGACACCCUUUUGCCCAAGUAGCUUUACUUGCAAAUGUUCUUGUAAUGAACCAUUGCUCUGGUUUAGGCCUCUGGCUUCUGCUACACCAUCAAUACUGGAUCUUCAUCAGAACUCCUCUUGGAUAUCCUGUUGUUGCCCUGUGUCAUGGAGAUCCUGCCCCUUUGGCACUGCAGGACAAGCCUUCUUAUGCACUCCAGUGGAUCAUAGGUGGGGUAGAUGUUGGGGUGAGCCAACUCAAAGCACUGGAUCUGGGCCUGGGUGGUAGGUAGCUCAUUGGUCAGCUCUCCAACUCUCCUGUGCCUGUGCCACGAGGGCCAGCUCUCCUGCUUUUCCUGAGCAAGGGACAGGGGCAGCUCUCCUGCCUACAGCAGCUAGCAAGCAUGUAGAGAACAGCUCUCCCAAGCUUAUGUCACCAGGGCCAGCUCCCCAGCACUGCCCUAGUGACAGAAAGGGGCAGGGCCAGCUCUGCUCAGCCCUAGGACAUCAACAUGGCCCCACGCAGCAUCCAAGACUAGGGACAUCCGCAUGGCCUUUGGUGUUAAUAUGGUCCAUAGAAACAAACCCCCACUUCUUCGGGACCAUGGACACAGACAUGGACCUCAGUGGAAGCAUGGGCCAGGACAUCACCGUGGUCUCAGGUGGCAGUCCUUGUCUCUCACAUCAGGCUGUCCCUCACCGUCCUCGCAUUUCCAGUCACACCUCUUCACAGUGCGCAAACUUUUCUGCUGCUCUUUCUCUCCUGCCCCUCCACCACACACUCGUUCGCUAGCAGGGUGCCACCCACUUACUCUGUGGGCCACAGGGUAGCUACUGCAGACCCUUGGGAACUUCUGUGCUAGCGGGCCUCAUUAUUAUUAUUCUAAACUUCUAAACUGCAGCCACUAGAGGAGUCAGCUAGCAUCUACUGAGGGGCCAGCACUAUGUCCCCAACAUACUGUCUUUUGCCAGCUGGCCUUACAGAUGCACCAACAAAACCACGGUAUCAAAAUACAUGAGAUCAUAAGAACCUGCCAGACAUGGGUGACAAUAAAAGGUCCCCAGUUUUCGUUUGCCUUGUGCACUGCAAAUUCACACACAAGUGAACGUUACAGCUGCUGAGAGGGGGAGCAGCCUUCUGGGAUACGUGACACUGCCCAUUGAACAAAGAAGGAAUCUGACGGUUUUCUGGAAAAUGGUAAUGGCUGAUACCAAAUUCAGGUCUCUAUAUGUUGAUCUAAUAGUACCCAGUCCUUUACAUACAUGCCCUCCUGGGCAUAGCUCAAGGAAGGUUGGCCUCAGAUGUCCUUUCUGUCUCAGCAGAAGUCAGUACUGCUCAGCUAGAAGUCCUCUGCCCACACCAGGGCCACUCUGCUUCACAGAGACGUCCUUCAUCCAAGAACUCAUGAGUUGUCAAUGUGUCAGCCUUUCUUUGUAGCCUGGGUUCUUCUUCAUGCUGGGAAAUCACUAACCGGUAGGGCUAAAGCCUCUUUUCUCAGGUAUGCUGAGCAGCAGAUAGACUCACUCUGAGUUCUCACUUUCCUCUGGCAACCCGGGAUAAAAAUUUAAAUAUUAAUGCUUGACAAUUAAUCUCUGAUUGGAAAGAAUUGCAUAUACUGUAUGUGUUACCUCCGGACACUCCAAUUUCCAAUCUGCACAAUGAAGAUAGCAUCCUGAAAACAGGAUGUAGUCAUCAAUUAGCAAUGUUCUACAGGACAGAUAGAUCUGCAUUAGUGAGCAACUUUCCCCACCUGAGCAAUGGGUGAUUCUAAGCAGCAAGACCGGCAGAGGAAGUAUAAAGAUGAGCUAUCCGGCUUCAUAUUAAGUAGCUAAGGAUGGAAGUUGGAAUGGCAAUGUCCAUGAAGCUUGAGCAUCUUUCAUCCUCACUAUCUUCUUAGGGCUGAUCUCUGUGUUCCUUUGGCAUAUGCUCCAGCAAAAGGUUUUGAUUGAGGCUCAGUAGGGAUAUGACACAAAAGGUUGACUCUGGCUCCUUCUAUGAAGACUUUGUUUGCUGGAAGAAGUGGGAGAUAGAAUGCUUACUUGGCAUGCAAAAAGGCCCUAGGUUUGUCCCACCAAGAAACAGAAGCUGACAGCAUGCGGUACCAGUAACGUUGGUUCCUAUGUCAAGAACGUACCUGAGAGACAUGUGUGUGAGUACAAAUUCUUACAGUGAUGGGUAAGAAUCCUGGGCCUGUUUUUCUGUCUUUGUGUCACCAAGAGGGUGACAACUAGAAGUACCAGGCAGCAGUUGUAAAAAGUUCUUGUAGAUCCUUGGCGAGAGGUUGUUGGACCAGAACAGUGCUUUGUGAUUUCUUAUUAUAUUUAAUGGAAAAUUGAAGCACUCAGAUAUUUCCAAAGUGUAAUUUGUUCUGAUGGGUGGGCCGACAGUGGAUUGAGCUGCUUCACCAGGGAAGAGGCAAAAAAAUAAAUAAAUAAAUUAAACAAAUUAAUGACUGUGACGCAUUCCAGGGGAAAGAAAAUGCAGUUGAUAAUCCACCCCCACUCUGGUCCCAAACAAAAAUCAUCAUUUUUAUUGCAGUCACAUCUCCUUGGGCUGCUGCUUCUUGUGAGUAUUUUUAAAGAAAACUUCCCCUCCAGUCGUUUUCUUUAGCCCAAUAAGCACAGUUGCUAAUUUUCUCUCAUUUGGAGAUUUCCCCCCUGGAACCAUAUGCCAUUAAAAUGCUUAGACAUGUGGAAAUGGACUGAUGAAGAUAUGAGGAGACAGGGAGUUUCAGAUGAGGAGAGACUUUGUCAGAUGGAUGAUUCUGACAUCAGAUUCCCUAACUGAAAGAGAAAGAUCCUGCCACCUACGGAAGGGGGAAAUGAGAGAGGGGCUUGUAUCCAGUCUCUGGGAUGGUCCAGCAGUCAGUGAGAGAGGGAUGGAGGGAUGGAGGCUUUGUGUUUGCAUGUAUCAUUCCAUUCCGUACCUAGCAUUUAGCGAGUGCGUAUAGAUUGAAUGAGCAAAUGAAUGAGUGAGUGAACAAUAUGGACAAGUGGCUGAAACAGAGUGUAGGGGAAAGUGAGGCAGGGGGCUCAUACACUGGUAGCUGUUCUUACCCCCUGACAAAAGAGGACAAGCCUGAGUGUACAGGUGGGCUUUGGCAUGAGUUUCUAGUAGCGUUAUGGUCCCAGAGCCCCAUGGCCCCUUCUUCAGAAGGCAUUUCUCAUUUGCAUUUAUUUGUGCAAUUACUCAGCUCAUGCUUCCAUGGAGAUAUUCAAACUAUUUAAGAAUUGAUAUUUUCAUGGCUCCUUCUAAUCAGAACAGAUGACAUUUUGCAAUCCUCAGCAAUGAAGCCCCCAGCAGGAUGGUUCAGAACAGCCCUGAUGGACUCUCUCAGGAGAGUGAAGCAUUCUGGGAAUGCACAUCACCUUUAUCUUUACACCUUCUUAAAGCACCUAACGCAGGGCUAUGGGCUAAGUCAAACUCCUUACUUUAGUCACUGGGCAGAGUAGCUACUCAAUAAACACACUCAGCCUUCCUUACCUUUGUGUUCUGUAUCCAUGGACUCAGCCAGCCAUGGCUAGAAAAUGUUUGUGAGGAAACAGUUCUGUCUAUAAUGAAUAUAUAUGGAUGAUUUCCUCUUGGCCAUUAUUCCAUGAACAGUAUAAUAUAUUGAUUUCACUAGGACUAAGAUUGUCUUAGGUAUUAUCAGUAACCUAGUCAUGAUUCCAAGUGCGUGCAGGGGUAUUUUUAAGCUAUAAAUGAACACUAGCUUUUCAUAGAAGAUGUAAGCAUUGGGGGAGUCCUAGAGCCAAUCUGCUUUGGGUGCGUAAGAGCUGGCUGCUGAUAUAUAGACUGGGAAAUGAAUGGUGUAAAGAUGGAAUGAUCUGGAGUGGGGUGAAAUGAAAUGUAUCAGGGAAUGUUAUUGUCCCCAGAUACUAUCCUACCCAAACUAUGGGGUGACUUGCCUUCCUUCUGGGGCAAGAUGAGUCUCUCCUAGGACUUUAGUGUGCUGGAAAGCGGGGGCCGGUGCAGACACUGGGUCCACAGGCAUCCAAGGCACUUCCUCCAGAGCCUUCUCUGGCUCGGCAAAGUCAAUCUGUUAAUGCUCUCCAGCCUCCUUCUCUUUGUUAGGGAGCCCAGUGUAUUAAUUAAAAACUGCAGGCAGCUGUAAGUAUCUCCAGAACAAGGAUUAAGCCAGCUUUCUGUCAAUUGCUUUCAAAGCCAUUGCUAUUUGCUAGAGCAAUGCUUUCUUUAGGGGUUAAAGCAACUUGCUUUUCACUUUUCUAUCUCUUCCAUUACCACAUCACCCUGCUGGCCCCUUCCCCUGAUCUGUGCUUUAAAUUGACUGCAAAAGGAAGGCCGUGUGCAAACGGCACAGCAGUCCCCUUCAGAUAGACACACAUCCUCAAGCAGAGCCAGCACAGGAGAGGCCCAGGCCCCGGUACUUUGACCAAUCUCUCGCCCUCAGUUUUGUUAAAGUAUUAUUAGUCAGUGCUUAGGUGUGCCAAUGACAGCGAGAGGGAGAUAGAGUUUCAUUCUACAUAACCCAUUUUCGUUCAUUCUUAUUUUCGCCCCUGUGGCCUAAGAGUUGCUCCAGGAGAGAAAGGUAUACCUGCCAUGACAAAAAAAAAAAAAGAAAGAAAAGAAAGAAAGAAAGAAAGAAAGAAAGAAAGAAAGAAAGAAAGAAAGGAAGGAAGAAAGGAAGAAAGAAAGAAAGAAAGAAAGAAAGAAAGAAAGAAAGAAAGAAGGAAAGAAAAAAAGAAAGAAUGGACAGAGCACAGGUAGGCCUGCAGGGGUAAGCCAGGGACUCUACAGAGGUGAAGCCUGCCGUGGUCAAUCCUCAAUACGUGAUGACCGUUAAGACAAAGUACCUGCCAGGUUCUAUUUUAAGGGCUCUGCCCAGGUUGGAAGACAACACUGUGAAUCAAGCCAUGCUGUUUUUAAGGCUUGUGAAGGUUGGCUUGAGGCCUGGGUCAUGGACAGGCAGGGCUGCGCACUCUAUGUCAUUCCCGGCCCAUAUAUAAGCCGGAAAAGGACAUGGGAGGAGGGAGGCGAACGCCUACAAAGGCAGGGCAUAGUUAAACAUCUCAGAGAUUCCAGAAAACUUGUAAUUUACAGAUCUUUCAUGUUAUCAGCAGUGAAUAUUAAGUAAAUCAAUAAAUUCUCCAUUGAAGUGAUAAAUAAUCAACAAUAAUAGCACAAAAAUCAGUCUGAACUCAACUCUAAUGUGACUGUAAAAUAAAAUGUCAAAUCCAAAGCAGGCUUUAUUUAUUUAUUCAUUUUGAGGGCAAAUGGGAACUGCCUAGAAUCCCUCUCUAAUAGUGAGUGUGAGCCGUUGAGGUUGUCACUUCCAAGCUUACAGUGACACCCUUGACACCUCACAGUGCCCCCAUUUGAAAGCCUGUGGAACUAACUGAAUAUGAAAUAACCAAAGUCCUGUGUGCACCCACACGCACUCAACGUGGCAGACGUGUCUUGUUGCUGUGCUACCCAGCAAUACACUGUGAAAACAGCUCCAGCAAGGAAGGCAAGGGGAAGAGAAGAGAUCUAAAUCAGGAUAACAUAAAUAAGCCUGUGGCAGGCAGAGAAACCCAAACAUCUAAUAACACCAGGGGAAAGUCACUGCAGAAUUUAUAUAAAAACAGUAUAUCAGACAAGCUAUGUGAGAGACCUUAGAGAGGCAGAAAUCAUGUGUGAGCACACACACACACACACGCUCACACACACACACACGCUCACAUGCACACAUCAUCUCUUCUUUGCUAUUGUGUAGUUUAAAUGUGUAAGAAUUAUUCUUUUGUGAAAAAUUGGAGGUCAAUUUGAUUAUUUGCUGGCACCAAUCAAUCCCUUUUAUUUGGCUAUACUUGUAAUCUCUUUUCUCUCCUCUCUCUCUGUCUCUCUCCCUUUCUCUCUCUCUCUCUGUGUACGUGUGUGAGUGUAUGUAUUAUAUCUGACCUAUACUUGUAAUUGUACAUAAAUAGUUCCAUUGUGGCCUGUUCACACUUGCAUCUUUCAUCUUCUUCUCUAGAUUUUAUUGUCAGAAUGUUUAAGUCAUAAACAUAGGUUUGGGGAAAUGACUGUCAGUAGUAAAAUGCUUUAUGCUCCAGCUUGAGGACUUAAGUUUGUUACAGUAAAGUUGGGGGUGGCAGUGCAUGUCUGUGGCCCCAGUCCUGGGUAGACAGUGAAAGGAGGGUCCCUGGAGCUUGCUAGCCAGUCAGUCUAGCUAAAACAGUAAGCUCAAGGUCCAGUAAGAGACCCUACCUCAAAAUACAACAUGGAAAGCAACAGAGAAAACCACCCAGUGUUAACUUAGGGCCACCGCAGCAUACAGUUGCGUACAGAUGAAAUUUAUCAUGAACAAAACUCAGUUUUUCCUCAUAUUUCCUUUACUUCCCCAGACACCUUCCAGGAUAUGUAGGAUAAGUAAACAUGGAUUUGUUCUGGCCAGUUUUUGUUCAUGGUUGGCCUAGUUUGAAGCCGAAUUUCUACCCUUCCUUCCCUUUCCUCGGUCAACCGCUUCCUUCUUCUGGGUGAGUUCAUUCUUCAGGACUGCAAUAGCGGAAUGGCAAGAAUAUCCAGGGAACUUCAGUCGGUCCCUGAGGCAGAACAAGGAGAUCUGGGUGUGGCUAGAAGGUUUGCAUCUCCUUCUGGUUGUAUUGACUCCAGUGUCCCAUCACCCAUGACUGUGCAGCUGUUUCAGACAUAAUGCCUGACCCAAGAGGGCCGUUAGUCACUACAGAAGGAGAGGGACACAAGCAUGAGUUUCACACUGGGGUCUCAACCUCACAUUCUAGUGUCCCUCACCUGGUAACAUCCUGGUCUUCUGUCCUGCCUCACUGGUAAAUAGAUCUACACCCCGCUUCCAGCAGCAGCUGGCUCCAUGACUUCCUAGAUGCUCAGCACUCACACUGCUCAAUAAGACACGAUUCUGCAUCUACCGAGUGUGCUUCAGUGGGCCAGAUGCUACAGGCAAUAAACUGGAAAAUGUAAAACAUGGUUUCUGCCCCUCUGCAGCUUAUGUUCUCAUUAGAGAAAAUUCAGAAAUAUGAAAAUCCAUUACUGAACACCCAGAACAUCCCUCUUGAUGUGCCACUUUGUUUUUGGCCUCGGCUCUUUUCUGUUUUAACUGAAAGUAAAGGGCACACGUGAUUCCACUCCUCCAAAAUGAUCUUACCAUGGGUGUUUUACAUCUGUGGUAGGCAGACAGCCAGAGAAAUGCUAACAUUUGGAUCUUGAAUGUCCCUCAAAUACCCACAUGCUGAAGGGGUGGUCCCCAAGGUGGUUUUAUUGGCUUCUGGUAGCAGCUUUGAGCAGGAGGUCAUAGGGAGCAGACCUUGGACACAGAUUAUGUAACUCAGAGUUUCUUCCCCAUUCACUGUUUUGGUUUCUGGGCAAUGUAGUGGGCAGUUUUGCUCUACCUACCAUCCAGCAUCCUCCUCGGAGGCUUAAAAGCAAUAUGUCCACCCAACCAUAGACUGGAACUUUUAAAGCACUGAACCAAAAUAAACCUUUUCUCUUCAUAAGUUGGUUAUCACAGGUAUUUUCUUACAGUGAUAGAAAACUGACUAGCAUAGGACAAAGGAAAGUCUGACAGUUUCAUUUGCUUCAAAACAUGUGAACACCAAGAGACUUUUUUUUAAACUGGUUGUGCAGUGUUGAAUUUUCUCCCACUUGAGAAAAUUCUCUGGCCUCCUAGACCAUGAAUCUUUCCUCUAACUGGUCUAAUAUUGGCAAUUCCCACUCCUUUGGGAAGGUCAAUCUUUGUUCCUAGGUAGACCUGACUUUCAAUCUCUUUAGUCACAUUUUAGGUAAAGAAGUUUGAGUGCUGAAUACAAAUGAGAUUCUUGAAAAAACAUCCUAGCAUGCCAGAGUUCCUAAGAUAAGCAUGCAGACAAGACUCAUGGUUUCCCACCCAACCUUCAUGCUGUGAGAUGAGAUGUUAAGAAAGAGGGAGGGAGGGAGAAAAGGAAGGGAAGGAAGGGGAGGGAGAGAGAGUGGCAUAAUGGCAUGGAACAGCACUGUUUGGCCAAAGUGUCCCCAGCAGUGCCUCACAGAGGCUAUAUCUUCUAUGUGGAGGAGGAAAGCGAAAGUGUCUUGAAAUAUGCCAAGCAUGAGUAAGGGCCUAAAGGCAGAAACAAGAAUGAAUGAUGAGAAAUUCAUAGUGAGGGGAGAAGACUUACCUGAGCUGGACCAUUUAUGAGUCAUGAAAUUAGGUGACUAAAUGGGCAGAGUCAAAAAGACUUUAAGCACCAAACAAUGCAAACAGUGGUGAGCAGUGUUGUUGUUAUGGACAUCAGACACCCUCUUAUAUCUUAAGGCUGAGAAAUAAUGUAAUGCUUAGGAUGAGAUUUGUGGCCAGAUGCCUUACAUUCCUCUUGGGCCCAUUGCCUGAUCUAUCUUGGACCCCAAACACACUGACAUGCAGAUUUCUUGGAUUCUUUAUUUUGCCUUGAAUGUACACAGUAGAGAACUCGAUGUGAGCUUGGCUGGUUGCUCUGAAGGAAAGGGCUGUGUUGUGUGUGCAUCUGUUGAUGCAACUGGUACCCAGACCAUCUGUGGGUGGUUCCUGCCAUUCUUAGCAACCUUCCUCUCUUGGAGAAUGAAGGCAUCUACGUUGAGUCACUUGGUGGCCACUGAAUUUUAUUUUCGGAAUGUGUCCUAGAUACAGCAGGCUUCCUACUCACCAUGCAGAAGAAAAUGCCCUUUUAGAAGAGGAUCCCUAUUUGCCUGACAACAGCACUCUGCUACUGCAAUCUCUCUUUUGUCAGAGGCUGAAUGGGGAGAUGCUAAGCCUUUGCUCUCUGCCUGCAAGAGCCCAGGGAAAACCUAAGCAUCCUGGGGUGCUCCCAGUCUGACUUACAGCUUUGUGUCACUCCAUGGGAAGUGAACCACCAUUUCAGUGUUUCAGAAUAAUCAGAAUAGUAAAAUUUAAGAGCUAGAAGGAACAAGAGAUUCCAACAAAUCCCAUCAUUUCCUCUACAGCAGUUCCAGUAAAGGGUCAUUCUACAUAGUCUUGCUAGCUUCCCCCACAAAGAUUCCUAAUUCAUGGUGCCCAGGGAACUCAUCAUUAUUGUGGAAACAUUGAACUAUGUAUUGAGAGCUUACUAAAAAGCCAUAUGGGUCCAGCUGACUCAUGUCUAAAAAUUUGAUUGAAGGAAUGAAUGAAUAAGUGAAUAUGGAUAAAUAAAUGUAUAGUAUUCCUCUCUGUGUGCACCAGUGGAGAAUCACUUAACAGUUUGAAAACUUGUUGGAGAAUGCUAAAUGUUAAUAUAGAAAACAAAGAAUAACCAACAGUUUUGCCCCUUGCUGUGUGCCAGGCACUUUUCUGAAAACCUUCCAUGUGUUGUUUCAUACAUUCUUCACUAGGUCCUAUGUGCUUUGUGAGGUAUGUAUAUGUAUGCUCGGAGCACUUGGAAGUGAGUGCUUUAGAAAUUUUGAUGGGCUGCUGGAGGUGCCUCCCUUCUCACACCCCUUCCACAAGGGCUCCUGAAUUUCUCUGCUCUCAGAUUCGAUGCUGCUGAACUAAUUUAUUGGCCCAGGCCAGCCACCUUUUCCUCCCAUCCAGGCAAACCUGACUGCCAGAGCAGGUGUGGGUUUUAGUGGGGCUUGGGGAGAAAGAAAGGAGGCACAGAGAAAUCCUGGAGGAAGAAAACUGAGUCCUGCUGGUCUAUUAAAUGUGUCUUUUUCUCAGAUGCUUCUUCCUGGUUAGAUGUUUCCCAUGGCUUAGAAAACCUGAGUCCCCCAGAGCCAGCUUCUUCACUCAGCCCCAGAGCAGAGAUAGCCAGGGUCUCCGCAUGUCAUUCUACUUCCUUUUAACUUUCAGCCUAGUCCUGACCCUGUCUGUGGUUGGGACAGGACUGAGAGCAUCAAGGUUCUCAGUUGUACUAAUCUCUUUCUAUAAAGAAAGAUGGGUUCAUAUAGUAGAAGAGCUUUUACUUUAUUCUGAUCUUGAAACUUUACCAUUUUUUUUACUAUCAAGUGCAAUUUUCAAUAAUAUAGAAUUGGUUUCUUAUUAAAUCAUAGGAGAAAGAUAUCAAGCGUGGUAGGUAUUGUACUUUAAGUUGAUUACAAAAAGCAUUUAUUGAGGUUUAACCACUAAGAAGUGGAUAGAAAAUCAAUUACACGGUAGUUAAGCAUCCAAUAAUAUGUGUUUUAAUGAACAAUUCAUAUUUAACACCUCUUAUGAAAUAAUGAGCUGUGCUGGAGUUUGGGGACAGCCAAGCAGCACUUGGGAUAUAUGAGCUGACGCUCAGGGAACCUAGUGUCAUGUUUGCACCAAUAGCAUCUCAGAGCUUUGGAGCAAUGGUAUGUGAGGUCUGUCUGGUUCACUGCCCAUGCCAACUUCAUGCCUCAGCUGGCGUGUGGGAGUUUCCCCGUCUAGACAGAGAAGUGACAGUGCAGAGGUGAGGCUGGUCUGAAGGAGUAAUCAGAGCCCUCAUAUCAUCAGUGGUGCCAUGCUCUGCGACACUAGCCUUUCAGAUUUCCUGGGUACGUGAAAACAGUGUAAUUCUUUUCUAAUUCCAUUCAGUCUUAAACAGCUGCUGAGACCCACUCUCCAUUGCUGGCUACAGUGUCUCCCACGUAAUGUGGGAGUCAGAUCCAGGACUCUCUAUCUGAAAGCUCCGUGUGCCAGUUGUGUGUACAUAUGUAACUGAGCUCAUUAUAAUCCAGGCUUCUACUUUAAGGCUGUCCCAACAAAUCAAACGUGAUUUUUAAGAUCAGAAGGAGGUGGGUCAUUUCAGCACUUGCCAAGAUAUUCACAUUUCCAUCUUCACUGAGAGUUGGCCUGGAAUUCUCUGUCUCUGCUUCGAUUCUGGGCUCUCUAACAUGUGGCUGAUAGGCAUAAGGGAGUCCACAGGGUCUUCUUGUUAUCGGUAUUGUUGUUUUGUGUAUGCUCUAUAUAUGUAGUCAUGUAAUGCAUAUAUGUAUGUGUUCAGGCGCAUAAACAUGUGUGUUCUUGUGCUUGUGAAAGCCGAAGUAUCUUCCUCUAUCCACUUUAUCUUUUGAGAAAAGAGUCUCUUGCUGAAUCAGGAGAUCUGCUGAUUGGCUGAACCUGCUGGCCGGAAGUGCCUAGAAGUCUGCCUCUCUCCAGCCCUGCCCCAGGACUAGGACUACAGAUGUGUUCUGCCAUGCAGGCCUUUUUACAUGGGUGCUGGGAAUCUGAACUCAGGUCCCUGUGCUUAAACACCAAGCAUUUUACUCAGUGAGCAAUCCCCUACCCCCUAGUAGUCCACAGUUUGCUCCUCUCAAGAGUCCUUCAGUUUAUCCAAUUCACAGAUAUUUGGCAGAGUUACAGGAGAGGUGAAGGAGAGCACAGAAGUGGAAGACAAGAAGAAAAUAGCUGUGUUCAGAUGACCAUCAAAAAUGAGAACCAGCAAGCACAGAGAAUACAAAAUGCCCAUUUCAAAAGGACCUCCAUGGGGAAGGUUAGCCAUGGGUGGGAGAGGCUGAGUGGGAAAAGGACUUGAGGGGUGGAAUGAGGUAUUGAUUUACAAACACUGGCUUUGCCUGGCAUGAAAACCAUGGGUCUUGGGUCCAAGCUGCAGUGGUGUCUGAGAACUGGCAGAUGGGAUUGGGCUCUAGUGCCUGGCAGACUGCUUUUUGGUUCUUUCUGCCACUUGAUAACUAUAUGGCUAAGAGUUCAUUUCAUCCUCUAUACCUGAGGGUGUGGUGCAAAAAUUUCUAUACUAUCUGCUUGGUAUAUAUCUCUUACAUUCUAGUUAACAGGAAAUAUUGCUUGACCAAGAUGCAUUGGCAUUCACCUUAUAUGGUCAAUUUGUGAGGAUAAAUUGAAAACUCUUAUGUACUGACUGGUAUAUAACCAGUACAAAAUUAAUAUCAGAAGUUAUUAUUAUUACCUUUAUUACUAGGAUAUCCAAUCACCCGAUUUCUACAGCCAUUUAUCUAAGCAAUGUCCUUUCUGUCAUAAAUAUUGGGAUAUAUUUUAUGACCUCUUAUCAUAGAGACUGACAUAAAACAUGUUCUCAAGGUUUGUCAAGUAAAUGAAUCAAUUAAUUCAUAGAAUUUUAGUGUGGGGGAAAAUCAUUUGAGUGUAUAACUCUAGCUGUAGAUUAAAUGGACACAACCCAUUAACCCCUUUAUGACCAUGUAUAAAUAAGUAAGUUAAAAUGAAAUUUUAUUAAUGAAAAAGCUGAGACUAAGAAAGGCUAGGUAAUUUGGGCAAGAUGGAUACCAAACAGAUUUAUAGCCCAGGUCUUGAAAGUCCCAGUUUGGUGACAUAGUGUAUCAACCAAAUUUUCUCUUUCAGUAGACAAAGGUUGCUAUCUAGUUUCAAAGCCUCAGUGGCACAGUCUGGACUGCUCAUUCUGUGGUCUUGGGGGCCUUUAGGUCAUUUCAUGGGAAAUAAUUACAUUUAUACUUGAGGUUGUUAAUAUAGUGGGGUGAAAACACAUACUCUAGAAUUCUGUUUCAGCUUAGAAAAACAUCAACAGCUAUGUUUAUGGUUCGUGACAUCCUGAAUUCCAGGGGAAGUAAUAGAGGCCAUAGGCUCUAGGAACAACUCAUGGACAUGCCAGACAGAAGGUGCAGGGGACCAGUAUGCUGGGGUAGAGCUGGUGGCUCUGAAGAAAUGGUGGAUCCCUGCUGACUAUGUAUUCUGUAAUAAUGGCCCAAGAGAAUGGUGUUUUUGUAAUAGGUUGGUGAAAAAGAAUGGUGUGUGUGUGUGUGUGUGUGCAAGCAACAUGACAAGAUAACAGUGGGAAAGGAACAAAACAAAUCUGUGAAGUAAGGCAGAUGCCUCGAGAUUUGCAUCCUGCGCCAUCAAGACCUCCAUUCAGCAGCUCUUACUAGGAGGGCUUCACUCAUGGUGAGUAUUUGAUAAAUAGUUAAAUAAAACAGUCACUAAAAAGACCUUAACAGGCCACAGCUAACGAACACACCCAUGCCAUUGCAGCUAUUAAUCCCAACAAAGUGAUAACAAAGCCAUUCUUGAAACACUAACAGAGACUUAGAAUGCAGAAUGUAUGGUCAUCAACAUGUUUAGGUCAUCGCAUUAAGAUGGUGGCUCAACUGGGAGGUUCCCCCUGUCUUUUUCAGCCAUCUCAAGGAAAUGUGAGAGAACAUUCUUGGGUCUAAUGAGGCAGUUAAGGUGGGUGUGGGUUAACAGUAUCCCCUGAAGGCAGCAGAGAAAUCUGAGAUCUAUUUGCUCACAGCCUGGAGGGACAUCUGUAUAAAGAUUUGCUAAAUUGAAAGUGCAGUUUAAAAUGGCACUGAACUGCUCCAGGCCACAUUCUUCUAGGGACCUUGUGGAGACAGGAGAAAAGAAGAAUGGCAUCUUUGAAAGGCAAGUGAUGUGGGGCCUGGAAGGAGGGAGAGGAAUGAAGCUUCCAGACCAUCCAUAGUCUCGUAGAUGGAAGCAUUUCCUCCUCUGUGCUAGAGCAAUCAAGAGCUCACUUAUGGUGACUGUUGCUGACAGGCAGCUGAACAUCCAGCCACAGGUGCCAGGAUACCUAAGAAGGAUGGUGAUUGCAAGAACCACAGUGGACAGCAGAGGUUUGGGGAUGGGGGUGGGGGCAAGAAUACAAGCUGAAAAUCUAUGCACAUGUCAAAGCAGUUUUGUCAUUGCAGAAGCAAACCCAAAGUGAAGCCUAAUGGAGAACUCAAGGCAUAUAGAGUCUGUCAGUGAGAUUUAAUUUGUUUCAGAACUGAGAGAGUUGCGGGGGCCGUGGUUCUUGAUUGGAGUGGACAGCAGAGAGGUAGACGUGUGUGGCACAGGAGUGAUUCAUUCCAGAUAGGACUGGGGUAAACCAAUCCAAUAAAUCUCUUCAUUAGGGUCUUGAAUAAAAGGCAAGUGGAAAGAGGGCAGAGCAUAGCCUGCAGAUUAAAUUUGGUCAGAGCCAAUAUCUGACAAUCCCCCAUGCUGUUAUCCAAAUGAAAGCUAAUGCAACUAUGAAUUAGCAGCCCCAGGAGCCAUGGAAGAGGGAAUUCAAUUCACUAAACUCAGCUCUAGCCUAGACUGAGCGAGGAGCCGCGGGAGGCUGGUGUGACUCUCAAACACACAGGUAUUGGGAAGUACGAAGGUAUCAUCGGAUAAGAGAGGUGCGAUGCAGAGCCCUGGGUAGAUCUCAGCUCAAGUCUCAGGGAGUGGGCAGCAGGCCUUGUCUUGAGUUGACAAUGGGAUGGAAAAGCUGACCUUUAGGAGCCAAGAGCCUGGGAAGGCCACACUGAGUAUCAGCAGCCAGGAGCGUAUCCCUCUUCUCUCACCUUCAGCUAGCCAAUCUUGAGUAUUGCUUUCUUUACAGUGAGCCCAGGAUAGAGUCCCCAGCCUUGUUCCUGAAAUCUCAUAAAGAACCCAUCACUUGAAUCAAAUAACAGGGAGCCCCAAAACAUUGAGACUAGCUAUUCCCUUACUUUGUUUGAAUUAUUCAAAUUGGAUGGUGUUGAAACUAAGAAGACAUAGGGAGCAUGUGUGACCUUCCAUCACUUACAGAGAUCAUCCCUUAAUGCUUUCCUUACAGCAUAUGUCUGCCCUUGACUCAUGCAUCUGUCAUUCUGAGCCCAGCGACCUUGCAGCCCUGCCCUUUCCCCUGUUCUCCUGUCCAGACGACAUGCUCUGUGAUGGGCUUGAUAUGAAUGCAUUACUAUCCAUUUAUCUCUGUCUCUGCUGACUCAAUCUUGUCCUGAGCACGUCCGUCCUUCACUGGUAAUCCAUGAUCUGAUGUAAGUGUGCCUGAAUGUUUCUCAUAGACAAGGACAGCCAUGUUUAGGCUAUUACAGUGCAAAAGGGGAGCCUCCUUUUUCAGAUGUGGAUAAUAAGGAUAUCACAUUUUAAGCAGACAGAGGAAAGCUGUGAUUCAUUCCAGGAUCCAGGCAUCCUGAGCAAAGAUGGUCUCUUAUUACUAUUCCUAUUUCCCACCCCACCCCUUCCCUUACCCCCAUUCCUAAUCCCAACAGUCUUAACUAUAAGCCAGUAAGUGAGAAGCAAAAAAGAGUGGACUUGAAUGUUUGACCAUGGAAGCUGUUGAAGGUCCAGAAGCUUCAGAAAACCAUUCUGAGAACCCAUAGAGAGUAGGUCACUAGACCAGCACUGGGUCCUGUCACCCAAGUGACACUGAGAUCUUCAUCCCUGAGAUCUGUGCCAGCCUGAGCUCCGAAGUAGAGUCUGCUCCCAGGAGACUUGGUCUGUCCUGGGUAAGAGGUGGAAGUAUCUCUGAGUAAGAUGGGUUUUUUUUUAUUUACUUUACAUCCCAAGGGUGCCCCCUCCCUCCUCUCCUCCCUUUCCCCCUUUCCUCUUUCCCUUUCUCUUCCCCCCAGAAAAAGAAAACUCCCCCAUAUCAACCUUCCCCAGCACAUCAAUUCACAUCAGGACUGAGCACAUCUUCAUCCCCUGAGGCCAGGCAAGGCAACCCUGGCAGAGGGAAGUGAUCCCAAAGCAGACAAUAGAGUCCAUGUUAGAACCUGCUCCUUCCACUCGCCAGGUGCCCCACAUGAAGACCAAGCCACCCACCGGCUACAGGUUGCAGGAGCUCUAGGUCAUUUAAAGCUACUCUCCACAGCUGUAUUGCCUCCUUAACAUGACAAAGUGGAAAUCCUGCCUUAUUUUACUGCCUGCAUGUUAAUGAGCCAAGUCUUGUGACCUGAUAAGGGAAGUUUACAAACAAUUAAGCUCUGAGAUACUCAGAAAAGAAAGUGAAAUUGCGUAGACCAGCAAUCCAAAGGGGAAAGACAACUUCUGCAAGCCCUGAAUUCAAGGGGGAUUCUAAAAGGAAAGUACCCACAGAGCAUUGGACAGGAGGUGUAGGGUGAAGGCCAGGGUAUCCAGACUUCUGAGAUCCCAUUAGUCUCAAGGACUUCAUUUAUUAAAAUAACACAAGAUACAGCCUUCAAUGAACGCCACGCCACUGCACCUGAGUGACCCUCUCCAGUUGGGAAAACAGAUCUGGACAGUGGGUGGGGCUUUCUCAGAAGGCAACCCCAGUUUUCUGAAUCUGGGUUUGGGAUGAUGACCUGGUUUUUUUGCUGCCAGGUUAAUAUGUUCAUUUUUAGACAUGUGGCUAGUGAGAAUUUGACCUCUAGAGAUACCAAAGAUGAUGAUGAUGUCGACGAUAGUGACGAUAAUAUUGACGAUGAUAUCAUACUAAACGUGCUGGCUUAGCAUGUACCAGGCAUGAUGCUGGAGGCAUAGCAUGCAAGUCUCACUUAAUUCUCACUCCAGUAUGUGCUUAAGAAUCCUAUUAUAACAAUUUAAGAGAAAAUCAAGGCUGAGAAAUGAAUAAAUUGAUCACAGUUACAAAGCUCUUUAGUGACCCACAGUACAAACAGAUUACUCAGUAGGAAAACAUGUACUGGCUCCACUGGAACAUACUACUUUCUAUAGUAUUUGGCUUGGAGGGAAGCUUAGGAAUGACCUGACCAAACCUUUCUUUGCCCCGAAAACAGAAGUACUUCUUCAAAGCCAUGCCAUGAGGUAGAGCUGGUGUUAAAGUCUUGUUCUCCUUCACUGGGGUUCUCUAUUCUUUUCCACUUGACCCACUUACCCCCUCUUUAAAUUUCACUUUGGAGUAGUGCAGUAUUUUAAUUUUUGAGGAAUUUGUUGAUGGCUUCCAGUGAAUGAAGUGUGCAUUGGAAAUGGAAUAAUUAAAAGCUGGAAACUAAUCAAGAAAGUUUUGUGUCCAGUGAAUAAUAAUACCCAUAAUAACAGAGAUAAGGGCCCGGAAGGCCAGCCCUCCUGCCCUGGGAACAUCACCUGACUUGGGGCCAACUACCUCUGAGAAGACUGUAAGAGCUGGAAGUAUCUUGUUUUACUCCUGAGAGCUUUGCUGACCCCUGCUUUUGCCUGAGAUCUAAGAAAGAAUGACAGAGGAAAAAUGAACCUUCUCGAAUUUCCUUCCAUUAGCCCAUGGUCUGGGCUAGAGUGAUAUCAGUGCCACUGAAUGUUCCAUGCCAGGCUGGCUGGGUCUUAUUCUGUGGUCCAGGCUACUCCAGACUAGCUUUGAAGGAGGUGGAGGAUCACUUCCAUCUCUUCUCUCCCCGCCCCCACCCCCAAUGCUGGGAUUACAGGCAUAAGCUACCGCACCUGGAUCCAGAGAAAUAAUUUAAAUGCAUAUUUUUAAAAAACUGUGCUUCCAGAAUUUCUAACUCUGUUUUACAAUGUUUUAGUUGCUUCUGAGAUAAUUUUGAUGUUGGUCAGAAUAACAAUCACUCCCAAAGGCUUUGAUGCUGUCAAGCAAACACAGGCUGCAGAGAAGGAAAUAGCCUGACCAGUCAAGUGAAAGUUCUCAAAGGGAGAUCUGCUUGCUUGCUUGCUUGCUUGCUUGCUUGCUACAUUUCCAGCACCAGUGCCAAAGAGGAUACUGAGGAUGCUUCCAUCACCAAGGGGCAGGAGAGAAGAGGUAGGUGCACAAGAAUCAUUAUUUUCGUGAAGAUGAAACAGUCAGAAAUUACAACUUCUUGUCAUACGUGAAGGCUCAGUUGAGAUAGAAUCAUGAACGAUGCUAGAAUUAUCUAGAUCAAUUGAUCCUGAUAGCAAAAAGAUCACACUUCUAUCAAGUGAGGUAAUUACCUGGAUAAAUGAGGCAACUAACUGUAAGGCAAAGCCAACCACUCAGUAACAGAGCCACACAGGAAGUCGCUGGGACAAGUAGAGCUGAAGAAACAGAUGAGGGAGCCAGAACCCAAAUCUGUUCUGACCAUAAUGGCCUCUUCCGGUGUAUUUGGCACUAAGUAACUUAGUCACUCUCUUACAGGGCAAAGAGGUGAGAGAAAGGCUAAGGUGCUGGCAGGUGGCAGCUCUGAAAAUGAACCAUCCAAAACCACAAGGUUGGAGUGAAUAUGACAAGUUCAGUGCCAAGAGCAUACCUUGGAAUGUCACACAAGUGUCUGGUCACUUGCUUGGGACAUAGAAGACAACAAUAAAUGUACAUAUGCUCAUGAGUACACAUGCAUAGUCACACACACACACACACACACACACACCCUGCAUGGAAAUGGAGCAAAGUUCCCUCUGUAAAUUUAAAUGAAGUCCGGAAUAGUGAAGGCCAUUUGUAAGGUCUGCUGAGCUAAUGGAUUCCUAAUGACUUUUAAAGCUUCACUCGGGUAAGAAAUACUGUUCAUUUUUUAAUUGCACAUAAUUAUACUUUUUCAUAAUCUAGGACGGCAUAGCAAAAGUAAAUCUACUGGUGUACUUAUAAAUCUUUUUAUUAUCUGGAACCCUACUGAAAUAAAAGGAAAAAGAAGCAGCUAUUGUUUUCCUAAUCUAAGAGAAAGGCUUUAAACAGUACAUGCCUUCGGUGUUAAAUGAGUUAGGUUGCUUUCAAUGGAAACUCUAAGUUAGUCAUACAGUCCACACUGCUCUAGGAAGCAAUACGUGGGGCAGUCUGAUCUGCGAGAAUUAGACCUGCUUUAGGUCUUGGGGACAAGGACAUUAGUGGUCUAUUUGAGAAGCUAAGAGUUUGUCACCUGGAAAUCCACGGUGGGAAAAUCUUCAGGCUGGGAAGAGUGGGGUUGACAAAUGCAGCGAAGAUGUUGAGAAGUCAAACAAGAUGCUGCUCCAGGAGCCUAACCAGGGUUCCCAUCUCCAGAGUUUUGCCUAAUAACUUCUCACCCAGGCCCUUAGUUAACUUUAUAGCUAAUCACACUGCCACUGAUGACGGCGGGGGCGGGGAGGGGAAGGGGACUAAUCUCUCAGGAGCACAGGAUGAGAAUGUGGCUAUGAGCAUUGUCUUCUGCUGAAAUCUCAGUUUCUUGUAAAGUAGAAAUGCUGAAUCAAACACAUGUAGGAAAACAGCACUCUCUGGAAGGAUGCUGGGCAAAUAUGAGUCUGAACAGGUGAUGCUGAGGAGGCAAAAGAGAUACAUACCUCACAAAGACACCAAGCCCAAUUCACUGCUUGUCUUAUCACAAAAUUAGAAAUGCCUAAGAGCCUGACAGAGGAUGCAGCCUCCGGAAGGAAGGGUGUGGAGCACCUGCUGUGAUCAGGAGAGGCCCUUUGCAAGGGAGCCUGGAAGAAUAAGGUUGCUGCUGAGUGGACCAGCCAGACUUUGUGGGAGGCAUUGACAAAGGUUUUCUUUCUACCUUAGGAAUUCAUGAUCCUCUGAAAGAUUCUUUCAUCAGUUUUGGGUGCUCCAGUAUAAGUGAAUCAAUUAUUCAGUUAUUGGGGGGGGGGGCAUGGCAGGAAACCCAGAAGGAAAAACCAAUUAAGUUCUCUUAAAGGUUGAACAACUCAUUUGGGUGCAAUAAAGAUGAAUGGUGUUGCUGCCCAUCUCCGAGGGAAAGGCAGCUUCUUGUGAAGAGAUAGCACAUCACAAUUAACAUCCUUCAUAUACCUUGGGGUAGUUUUGUACCAUACCACUCUCCUAUAAGUCUAGCUCAACUCACACAGACCCUGUGACAACAAACAACUAAGGCUGUCCUUAGUGUCCCAGCACUACCAUUGAGUCUACACCCAGUACCGAGUACUUCCGUCUCACACUGAAGCCUCUGUCCCAGCAGCCACUGGUCUUGAUCUUUACCUGGAGUCUCUCUCUCUCUCUUUCUCUCUCUCUCUCUCUCCCUCUCUCUCUUCUCUUUUUACUUGUUCUGGGUCCAAACUGCUGUCCUUACCUCUAAUUCAUCUGAGAAGUGGUGAUUGAUUUUUAACCCUAUCUCCAGAGGGAAGCAGAAUCUCCAGUUAAUAAUUCCCUACAUCCCGUAGUCAGUGUGAGCUUUCUGGACAAUACAAACAUGAUUUUUAAAGAAAUUUCGCUUUUGUGGUUUAUAGGAUGACAACUUCUAUAAACACAAGCAAAAAGGCAUUGGAAUUUGGCUAUCUAAUCUGAAUCCCAUACGGUAACCCAGGUCUAUUUAUUGUUGUAUGGUUUUUAUUCAGUGGAGUCAUAGAGCAGCAAGUGGCUCUGUCCUGGGAAAUAUGUCUCAUCCCUUAAUCCCCUCAUAGCACUCAAGGCAUGCGUCAGGUUAGAAUUCUAGUCCCUGUGACCUUCAGCAAUAGACUUGGCUUUCCUUGACCUCAAUGUUUUCAUCUAAAAAAAAAGGAUGAGAAUGCCUCACCUAUAGAGCUGUAAGAAUGUGAGGAUGUAGGAAGGUCAAGUGCCUCACAGGAUCAGACAGAGGCCUGGCACUCAGUGCUCAGUAGUUGGCUUUUACUGUUGCUGCUGUUACUUCUAUUAUUAGGCACAGAAGCCUGGCUACCAGACUGUUUUUCCUCUCACCGGUAACUUGACCUUGGUUGGGCUGCAUAAUUUUUCAGAUUUAGUCUUUGCAUCUAUUGGAUGUAUGAUUAAUAUUUUCUGUCUUAUCAGUUAUGUGUAGUUUUGGCAAUAAUGUACAGAAAGCCCAACCAAGACGGCUUCAACAAGCAGAGAUCCAUUUGUCUCACUUAGUACAGAUUCCAAGGAGCUGCUAUUUGAGUCAGAUCAGCAGUGUCUCAGCAUCAGGGUCCACAUCCUCUGGAUACUGUCAGGUUUUUCAGCCCCUCUAACCCAUUGCUACUCCUGAUGACUGCUCUUCUUUGAAGGUGUCAUCCUUGUUCUAGGUGUGGAGAAAGAGAAAGUAUGGAGGGCAGUGUCUGCACACACACACACACACACAAAUACACACAUACUCACACACACACACACACACACACAAGCUUUUCCACAGUUCACGUGGCAAAUCCUUGCUUACAUCAUGUUGACCAGGACUGAGAUGACUGCAGAAGCUUUCAGCCAACACUGUCUAUCACACGUACUGACAGAGUUUCUAUAAGGAUACACGAGCUAGUGUGUGUUAAAGCGCUUUGUAACUGCUUUACAAAAGUAAGUUGUUAUCCUUACCCACGCCCUGUGCAAAGGAGAGGCCAGUCAAGAGGCAAGGGAUAACUAUAUUGUUCAGGCCUCUUAACCCACACUGAGAUAAAUGGAAGGCAUUUGGAAGGCGAUGGUAGCUUUAGCACUGGCUGACAGGUCCUAUCCCCUUGUAGGCUAAGCUGGAGGUUAUCCUGUUUCAUUCUGCUGGAGAGACGAUGCUUGGAUUGAGCUUGGUUGCUUCAAUUGUCUCUGCUUGAUGUAACUGUGAGGCCAUGUCCUACAUAAAUACAGAGAAUCUCUAGGAACAGCAGGAAGUAUUCCUGUAAGAUUCAUUCACCAGUAAUGGGAUUAUGUUAAGUUAAUGAUAGGUAGUCCUUAAUGUGUGCCCUCUCCAUUCAUGUAGCCUUCUGACAUCCUUAAUAAGCAUCUGCUAUUUUUUUAACAGCUUUAUUGAGGUAUAAUUUAUGUACCACGAAAUUCACUGCUUAGUAAGUGUACACCAUUGUGUGACUAUUACUACAAUCCAAUUUUAGAACAAACUCAUCUCCCCCAAAUGAUACUUCAUGCCAAUUUAAGGACAGCCACCAUUCCCAGGCUUUGCUGCAAAUGACAGUUCUAUUUUCUACCUCUGUGGGGUUGUCUUUUCUGGACACUUCAUCCCAAUGGAGCUGUACAAUAUGUGGUCCUUUGCAUCUGGCUUCUUUCGCAUGAUGUGAUUUGAGGGUUUGCCACGUUUUAGCAGAUAACAGUGGUCUGUUGCCUUUGAUUGUAGACAAGUAUCUGUUGCAAAAAUUCACCCCAUUUUAUUUAUCCUUUACCAGUUGGAGGACAUUUUGGCUUUUCCCACUUUACAGCCCAUUAUGCUAUGAACAUUUAUGUCCCUAUCUUGGUGGAGACACAUGUAUUCAUUUCUCAUGUGCAGAUAUCUAGGAGUAGAAUUGCUGGAUCAUAUGACAACUUUAUGCUUAACCCUUUUAGGAACUACCAAAUCAUUUUCAUUUCUUCCAUCAGCAUUUUGCAUUCCUACCUGCAAGGUUCCAGCAAGACAGAGCACUCCAGUCGUAUCACAUCCUCUUACCAACGGCUCUUUGGGAUCACAGUCAUUUUUCUAGGCACGAAGCAGUAACUUGUAAUGGUUUAAAUCUUAUUUCCUUGGUGACUAAUGAUGCUGAACAUUUUUCCAUGGGCUUAUUCAGUUGGUUUACCUUCAGCGAAGAGUCUUUUCAAUACUUCUGCCUAUUACACAAGCUUGAGGACCUGAGUUUGGAUCCGUAGACAAAGCUGGAGGUAGCAGCACACGUCUGUCAUCCCAAAACUGCUACAAUUAUAAGGGAGGCAGAGACAGGAUGCUUGUAUGACAGCCAGCCUGGCAAUCACAAUGGUAAACAAGAGACUCUGUGCCAAUGGAAAGAUAGACACCCAAGAUUGUCCUCUGACCUGUUAUGGUAUACCCAGUCUACACAAACACAUAAAUCUCCCUCACUUUUUCUCUCUUGCUCAUACAUACAUUCAUACAUUCAUACAUACAUACAUAUGUGUAUGUUACAUACACAUUAAAUUAAGUAGAUUUAACUUUUUAAAACACUGACAGCAAAAUUCCUCCUGUAUUUGUGCAACCUCCAUCCUGUCAGAGCCCAUAGCCUACUGUUUGUGUGGGAACAUGCCAUAAAGCUGUGUUAAUCUGCACAGUGUGGUCCUGUGCCGCGUACAUCCUGCAUGUUUGGAAAACACACAAAGGUAAGGUACCCACCAUUGUAGUAUCCCAUAAAAAAGUGUCUCUGCCCCGAGUCCUCAGUUCUGCCUAUUCAUUGUGCCCUCUCUGUUUUGACUGUCACCAUAGGUUCGCCUGUUUUUGAAUGCUGUAUACUUGCAGUCAUACAGUAAGAAGCUUCUUUAGAUUGGCUUCUUCUACUUAUAAACAUAUGCGUAAGUUUCAUCCCUGUUGUUUUUAUGUCUUGAAAGCUCUGCUUUUUUGGGGGUGGGGUUGUUUUUGUUUUGGCAGGGGCAUUGGCACUAAAUAAUAUUGCAUUGCCUGGAUAAAAAUGAUUCAUUUAUCCAUUCAUCUACUCAAGGACAUCAUAGUUCCUUCCGAGUUUUGGCAAUUAUGAAUAACAUCACUCUAAGAAACUGCGUUCAGGUCUUUAUGUACACAUAGUUUUUUGUUUGUUUGUUUAUUUGUUUUGGCUCAGUGGGGUAAAUGCCAACAAGAGCAAUGGCUGUGCCUUCUAUUGCUGACCCUCAGAGGUGGCUUUCUGCAUCCUUGCCAUCACUGAGAAGCAAAACUGUCUUAGGUAGCAGUGUUCAUGGUCGAUGUUCUAGAUGCCCAUCAUCUGGGAGCUGUGUAGCCAUGUCUAGUAGCUUACUUGGAAAUUCUUUCUUGGCAUAUGAUUUUGAGAUCUUUUCUUAUGCUUACCUCCCCUUUGCUGAUUUUCUUUGCUGAUAUUCUUAAGAUAAGGCACUCAGUCUACUUGUCAUUAGGUUGUUUGUAUCAUUAUUGCUGAGUCCUGGCUGCUCUUUGUCUAUUUUGGGUAUCAGUCCUACAUCAGAUCUCAGUUUGGUAAAUAUUUUCCCUCAUGUUGUAGCUUACCUUCUCAUUCUCUUGAUUUUUGCCCAGUUUUAAAUUGGGUUGUUGGCUUUCUUAUUAUUGACUUUCAAGAGCUCUUUAUAAGCUCUGGACAUGUUAUUCAUCAAGGAUAUAAUUUACAAAAUGAUCUCCCAGAGUGUGGCUUGUCUUUUCAUUUUCUUAAUACAAGUCUUUUUAAGUGCAAAUGAUUUUAAUCCUGAUGACAUAAAAAUUCUUGAUAUGUUCUUCUAUGGCUUAUAUUUCUGGUGUGAAUUAAAAUCUUCAAGUACACAAAAGAACUUCAAGUUCUUUUUUAGAAUGUUUAUAACAUUAUGCCUUACAUUUUUGUCAAUGUAGGAUUUUGGGUUAAUUUGUGGAUGUACUGUGAGACUGGAUCUGAAUUCAUAUAUUCCCAUGCAAAUAUCUAGAUUUACCAUUGGAUAUUGAGAAGACCAUUCUCCCCUUAUGUGCCUCAGCACUUUCUUUAAAAUCAAUUGACAGCAAAUGCUAUAAAUGUAGGAGAUUUUUACUGAGCAGUUGGUUCUCUCCUGUUGGCCUGUGUGUCUAUGGUUGUGCCAGGACCAAACUGUGCAGAUUAACACAGCUUUACGGCGUGUUUUAAAGCCAGUCAGUGUACGUUUUCUGACUUUACUCUUUUUUAGUUUUUGUUCAUUUGGCUCUCUUGGGCCCUUUGCAUUUCCUUAUAAAUCUUAGGAUUAGAUUGUCAGCUUCUAAAAACCAAUUAUCGCAGGGACUGAAAUUUUGAUAGGACUUGUAUUUAAUUCAAAGAUAAUUUAGGAAAAACUGCCAUCUUAGCGUUUUUCAGUUUCCCUGAAUCAGUGUUCAUUGUCUUUCUUUUUAUUUAGAAUUGCUUUAAUUUCUCUCAAUAACUUUCUUAGUGGGAAUACAGAAAAUUUUCACUUUUUUGUUAAGUUUAUCUCUAGUCUUUCGUUACUUGUACGUUAUUGUGAAUGAAUUCUUUUCUUAAUUUCUCUUUGGGACCAUUGCUUGUAUAUGAAAUCAAAAUUAUAUUUUUACAUAUUGCCUUACAUCUUGUAACUUGCUGAACUUAUUUAUUAGAUCUAGUAAUAUUUUUGUAGAUUCUUUAUAUAUAUAUAUAUAAAGAAUUGUCUACAAAUACAGACAAUUUGUCUUCUAUCUGCCUUCCACUCUGGUUGCUAGGCAUCUCUUAUUGAAUUUGAGAUGUUAUAAGACACUCAGAAAGAGUGCAGGGAGGGUCCCCUGAGCAGAUAAUGUGAUCACUCUAAGAAGGAAGGGCUUGAAAAUUGGGGCUGGGAUGGCCAAAGGGACCUGAGAGUCCCCACUGGGCUGCAAUGAGUUUAAGUUCGCUGAUUUCUUUUCCAAAGAAUGAGAGAGUUGCCGCAUGAGAAAGACAUGCACGGACCUGAGGCAGGCACCUUGACAAGGACACUGGAGAGGCUGCUUGCCUUUCAGAGCUGUGGGGCUACCCCUAGUUUUUACUUUGCUCUGCGAAGAGAAGAGGUGUCCUCUUCCCAGUAAUCUGGAUACUUUUCUCUUAAACAGGGACAGUCUACCCAAUUUUUGCAAUAAAGAUGGGGUCGUAGUGAUGCAGGGCAGCCUCAUGCAUGUGUGUGAGCUCCUAUGCCACCACAGUGAUAACUCCACACUUAACAAGCCUCCCGCUCUCCAGUGAGAUGCCUCUUAAAUAACCCCUCAUUACUUAAUAUGCAAUGGCUGUUAUGGCUAUGUGAGCUGUUAUCUGUUUAUGUUGACUAUUAAUAAAUUAUUAGACCAUAUCGUGUGGGUUUUAAUAACUCCAUAGAAAGAGAAGUUUGGCCAGAAGGUGAAAUCUCAAACAAUAAUGAAUUUGUAGUUGGAGGGAGAGAGGAAGAGACAGAGAGAGAGAGUUUCCUUUUUCUUCUACUGCAUAGAAGUCAUUCACUUACAGGGAAAUUAAAUAAACAGGUCUUUGCCCUUACUUAAGAUUCUGGCCGUGCACAGGGGGAAGGAGUGCACAGGAGACCCUCAGUCCUGGUGGGAGCAGCCUGCUGGGGUCGCUGCCCCAGGCACGAGCCUGAUGCUUGUUAGGCUCCUUGCCUUGAGUCUCAGCUUUUCCUUAUGGACUGAAAAACCUCUGUAAGAAUGGGAAGGUUGCGGGUAGUCUGUGUGCAGCUAAGCAAGGCUUUAAAAUGCAUCACUCUAAAUCAGCCUUGAAAUAGGGCUUCUCAAGUUGGCCCGCUUGACUGCUCCCAGAUGAGACCCAGGAAGCUGCCCUGCACCCCCACAUGCAUGUCCUUGCUUGUUGGAGACAAAAAGGCAUGAGACCAUGUUAAGACUAGGAUUGAAGUACCAACCUAGGGAGGGGACUCCAUGAUUAUGGCCCUGGGAGGUCAGGCAGAGGCUGAGGGCAUGCCAGAUCUUAGCUACAGCACAGAAAUAGACUCAAAUCAUUUUGGCAUCAGCCAUGAUUUUUAAAAUCAAUACCAAGCCUUUUGAUACAGUCUUAAUUCUUUUUCUUUUCUUGCUGUCUGUGGAGGGGUUGAUAGAUUGCCUUCUCCAUGUAGCUACGAAAAGAAAGCGUUGGUAGGAGAGCCUCACUCAUCCCCGGCAUCCUGGCGGAGGGGCGGCAUGCUUCUGGAACUCUCAGAGUAUACAAUGUCACCUCAGUCCUUGGCGUAUCCUUUGUCAAAAGAUUUCUCACUGCUUCGAGGGGCGUUUUCCAAAUUACCUAUCUCAUUGCUACCAUGUGGACACUGGUAGCAAUCUGUCUGAGGAUGACAGAAAAGGGACCGAAUACAAGUCUCUACUCCACUCUGAGUGCUUAGACACCAGCACUUUCCAGGAUCUCCUUCUUACACUUGCUACCCAAAAGUAGGUACAGAGAUGAACUAGCUUCAUUCUCUAGGAUGGUGAUCCUGGAAGGAUGAGCAGGUGAAUAAUCAGAAGAAAGUUGUUUAAGAUUGUCCCAAAGUUUCCCUAAUAUGUGUGCUUCUAGAAAGCAGGAAAGUCCUUCUGUAAAAGUCCUCUUUCAGAUAAUUGAAUGCUUGUGAAGUGAUUGGCAGAAAGAAAGGGAGAAGGAAGGAGGCGAUAGAAAACAGGAGGGAAGGAUGGAGGGAGUAAAGGAGAGGUUAAAGGAUGGAUGGAAGGAAAAAACCAAACAUCAGUAAUGGAUUCUAGUCUACUCAUUCAUUCACCCACUCAUUCAGUCAUCCUGAUAGGCAGGCAUAAAGAUAGACAGGUCUUGUGAUAGAAAGGCAUUGUGGAGGAAGGGCUCUGUGCCAGGUAUCAGAGACAUAGUAGUGCCCAGAAGCAACCCCUUCCUUCCAUGAGCUUGCUGAUAACCUAGGGAGGCAGGUGUGAUUUAUGUUCACACAACUGGGACACAUAGGCUCUAUGACAGGCCAAGCUAUGACAGUUGUUGGAGCUCUAGGGCACUCCUAUCUUUUCCAUAUGUGAAAGCAGAGAUGGACAGAGGGAAUAAAGCAUGCCAAGCAUGGAGAAAACCAUUCGUGGCACAGUAUGGCACUGUCAGGAUGGCUAGGAAUAAAAGCAGAGGAUGCUGGUAGAUAGUGAUGCCAAGACUGUAUCCCUGGGGAUCUUGAGUAGUCUAAGAGUCUAGGGCAAGAUUCUGACACAGUUCUAAAAGAAAGGAGAGACAUGUGAUAAAGGGGUGGAGUGUGACGUCUGGUUGCCAUGGUAUACGAUAUGCUAGAGGGGGCAGGUAAGAGCAUAGCCAGAGGAUGAGAAGUCCCUUGCAGAUAAAGACAACAGAUGGGAUAGAGGUAAUGGCCAAAGAGUGGAGAGAACCAGCUUUGAUCGACAACCAACUUCCUAGUUAGAGUCCUGUUAGGAAAGGGCAGAGGACUGGAGUCCAGAAAAUAGAUUAGCCAGAGAGGCAAAUGUUAAAUUGGAGAACCUUUGCAGGCAGGGAAUCGCUCUUGCCACAGGCCCUUAGGGGGAUUAGGAAAAGUGAAUAGGGCCCACAGCAGAUGCUCCUGCAGGGCAGGAGGUAAUGAGCAUUGGAUGUUGUCUUAGGGAGCAUGCCCAGAGCAGCCUCAUUCCAACACACAAAGAACAGGGUCCCUUGGCAAGGGAGAACCAUGUGCCUCUCAAACAAUGGUGGAGGAGAGGGCUUUGUGAGCACAAAGAGGCUCAUUCAUGAACUCACCAAGUUGUGCCUGUUGCCACAGUAACGUGUCAAGGGCUUGGCAGAUAUAGGAAGGAGGGGAAAAAAAACCCACACAACUAAAACAAAAACAAAACCCCCUGAGUUACAGUACUCAAAGCAAAUUAGGUCACUGUUACGAGUUAUUAAUUUUAAUGCAUUAAGAAAAGUGUGCAGGGGGUGGGGAAAUGAAGGAGGUCUUUUUUUUAUGCAGCAAAUGGGGAACAGGAAAAAGUACAACAAUAAUUAUGCUGAAAGCAAAGUGAAGUGUUCCAUAAAAUGCAAGAAAUGAACAAAUUACAUACCCCUCCCUCUUCUUCCCUCGAGUGUAGUUAGCAGUUGGUGGGGUGGGGGUGGGGUGGCUCCCUCACAGCCCUCUGAUGCCGUUACAAGCUCUCAUCUUGCUUCUUUGUGUUGUGUCGCACGUGCUGUUACUUAAGCCAGGCUGAAAUUCAAGGAUGAAAAGAAAGCACCGAGGACCACUUUCUGGUUCUGAGUUAUGUUCAGUGUGGAGUUGCUUCUAGGCAAAUGUGCAGCCUGGUGAAGGGAAACUGGAUGCUGUGGAUAGAUUCUCCAGGGGCUAGGGACUGACAGGGACUCCAGGCAUUUUGGUCUUUAGGCCUGGCUGACUCAGUGUGCCACCAGGUUCCCGAGUAGAAUGCUGUGUCUCUGGCUACAAAACUGGGCCAUGUGCCACUCUUGCUUUCUUGGCCUUUGUGCAAGGCUUCCCCAUGGCAUACAGAAUCCUGCUAAGGAAGCCUAGGCCUCUCUUUCCUCCUAGUACCACCUUUAUGCCCUCUCACUAUCCAUCCUUUGGUCUAGUCCAGCAACAGUUCCUGAGCUGCCAAAGAGUCAGGACCUGUGGGUACUGUCUAAUUUCUGAGCAAUCUUCCCAAAGCCCAGCCCAUAUAAGGGCAUUCCCCAGCCUAGUUUCUAUACACACACACACACACACACACACACACACACACACACACACCAUUACCUACAGGACAAAUUAGGAAGCAUUUCAUACCCAAGAAAAUCAGAUUCCCUCCCCCAACUUUUCUGUCCUUUUUUUUCUGUUCAUCCUUUCCCCCAACCUGUCAUACAGCCAAAGAAAUGUCACUACAUUCUGCAAGUCAGAACCUUUGACCUUCAUUGCCCUUCUGCUGGGAUCCAUCUGAUUUCUCUGCUGAGCAAUCAUCUGUCCAUCCUCAAGGUCACUGACAUUUUCAUGCAUAGUGGCACUCCCUUCUGUGGGCUCUGUCGAAAAACACCUUGACCGAAAUACGUAUCAGUGGCUCAUGCAUCGCUGCACUCAUCAGCUCCUGAAACCCUUGACAAGCUCCAUCUUUGAACCCCUAUCCAGCCUGGGGAAGCACAAGGGCGCUCAACAGAUAGUUGUUUUAUUGCUUUCCUUGCCUAAAUUCUCCACUUAUAAAUGGAAAAGCUCCCAGCCUUCACCAAAAUCUAUUUUAAGCUGCAGCUCUCCAUGCAGCACCCCUCCAUGUGACUUGGGGGUCCGAGUGCUUAAAAUCCUGCCUGGACAGUCUUGGAGAAUGAUCUCUCCAAGGUCACACAUCCCAAAACAGCUUCUCUGAGAGUUUGUGAACACGUGGGAGCCUCGAGUGGCUAAAGUGCUUGGCUCAUACGAGGGUAUUGCUGGAAGCUCAGGAGAUUGGGGCAAAGGGAGUGUGGAAGUAUGUGAGUCCCUGGAUUGUUUUUCUACUCUGUGGUUAGAUGGCUUUAGUAAAUGCCAUGUCCAUAUUUUCUUGUGUUUCCAAGGAGCAGGAGUUAAAGCAGACAUUUAGUUAUUUUUCAUUUGUUAAAAAUGUGGGCUUCCUCUCCCCUCAAUAAACGGGGAAAGGAAGUUGCAAGCCCAACAGGAUAGCUUAGAAAUCUGACACAUUUCACACCUGGCAUUGCAAAAUGGGAAGGCAUGUGGACUGCUGUGUGGGUAAAUGGAUAAUACGUAUGCGUAUAUGAGCAUGUCUGCGUGUCAUCCUAAGUCCAGCUAGUAGUAUUUACUGAGUCAGCAUUGUGUACCAGGUAGGCACGGCGUGUGCUUCUGUGUGUGCACUCCAUCCUCUACAGCAGAAGCUUUCACCCCACUCCAGCUACCCUUAGUAUUUUCUAGGCACUACAGGGAAGGGCAGAUGUUUUCUCUAGAAGCUAAUUUACUUGGGGAGUGGAAGGCUCCAUUUUAAUUGAUUCUAUCUUUCAAGAUGCAAGGAACUUGUAAUCUCAGCCCAAUUGUCAAUACUUUGCAGGCCCUCUCCCCAAGUCUUUAGCAUGCAGAUAGGGCAAGCAGGGAGCUGCUGUGACAGCUAAGGAUGAAAAAGAAGAGCAGCUCAGGAUAAUAAUCCGCUUUUGAUUUUUUCCCCAUCCUUUCCCUACACCCUCUCUCAAAUCCACUAAAACGAGGGAAAAUCCAUAGUGAUUAGAAAAACUUCUGACCAAGACAUCUUUCUCCCUUUCCUUUCAUUUCCUCCCCACCCUCUUUAGUAUUCAGAAGCUGCCCAAAUAGCAGAGGUUUCCAUGAGGCUUGGCUGUGCGUAGCAUCCCAAGCACAGAAUGGGGGGAAAAAUGCUUGCUGGAGUUUGCAGUUCCUCUCAAGCUAAUGUCAGGCAGCUUACGCCACCCUAUCAGGCUGACAGCAAGUCACAGGGGUCACCAUGGUACAGUCCAGUGUCUUCUACCAAGACAGGGAGAGUAUGUGAGUCCCCUAGGUACCUUAGCUGGCCAGAAGAUCCUUUCUGUGCCUCAUACCUUGGCAGGGCCUGGAAAGGAAAGCACAAAGUAGACUGGCCUGGCUUUAAAGAGACACAGUGAUGGGAUUGAGUUAAGAAAACGCUCUGGUAUUUCUGGCCUCAGCGUGCUUCACUGAGACGAAGGACUGUCUUAGUCACCGCUCUAUUGCUGUGAAGAGACACCGUGACCACAGCAACUCUUUAAAAGGAAAGCAUUUACUUGGGGCUGGCUCACAGUUUCAGAGGAUUAGUCCAUUCUCAUCAUGGUGGGGAGCUUGGCGGCAUGGUGCUGGAGAAGUAGCUGUGAGUUCUACAUCUAGAUCCACAGGCAUCAGGAAGGGAGAGAGAAACUCUGGGCUUGGCAUGGACUUUUGAAACUUCAAAGGCCACCCCCAGUGACACACUUCAACAAGGCCAAACUUCCCAAUCCUUUUAAAUACUGCCACUCCUAGUGACCAAGCAUUCAAAUCUAUGAGCCUGUGGGGGCCAUUUCCAUUCAAACCACCACAGGGGUAUACUAAGUCAGCAAUGCCCAAUGUCACUUUUCACAGCCAAUUGCCUGGCUUUUCUUUUCCCCUUAGCUGGAGUCACACAUUUGGAUUCAGUGCAGUAUGCAUCGCUGACUACCAGACUUCACUCCUGGACAUGUGGACCCGGAACUCUGUAACAAUUUGAGCAGGGAGUACAUGGGCUGGUACAUGAAAAGGAAGGUUAAGAUUGUAUGAGGGACACCACGGGAAAAGUGUUUCUGCACUUGACCAAGUCUCUGUCAGUCAUGGAUAGGACAGGUUAUGCAUUUGUACAUGGCUGGCAAGGGGAAGGACCCAUUUUAAUUGAUCCUAUCUUUCAAGAUGGAAGUAGCCUGUAACAGUAACACCUCAACUGUGCAUAUCUGAGGCAAAGUUCACUCCAUUGGUGAGUAUUGUUUCCCAGAUGGAGGGAGGAGGAAGGAGCGAGUGCCUGGUAGAAGAAGGAAGAAGACUGUCUGCAAUCCUCAGGAAGCUGUUGCUGCACAGCCCGGAGUAGACACUUAGCCUCUUGGGUUCUGGCUUAGGGAAUGGCUAAGCACAGGCAGAAGGGGGAGAGGCAACAAAGCGUGAUCAGAAUACCCUCAGCUUGCGCAGGCACCCUUGUCCCUGGAGGUUGUUAGUGUCAGUUCCAUGAACAACGAUUGGCUGCCACAGAGAGCAGGAAAUCACAAUGUCAAGGAGUAGAGGGCAGGUGGUUCUGAAUGAGCUACCCAUCCCUGACACCAGCUCUUUGCUAAGCUCACCUGGGACAGCAUUUUCUACUUAAUCCAUGAAUCUCCCAGUCUUCUCCAGGCAACUUGUGGGACUCCAGGUCUGUAGUGUGUGAAAGCCUCUCCACCCAUCGUUCAUUCCCAGACUCCAGUCGCUGACAUAACAGAAACUGCUGAUUCGGACAGUCCUCUUGUGCUGUCUGCCAUUCUCACUAAAUCAGGACAUUUGAAUAUUAGAUCCCAGGGCCACUAACAGCCCAGGGAAUAAUCAAAGACCAUCCAGUGAACAGAUAUUCUAUGGGACAGUGAAGCUAUAGCAGAGGAGUGCAUCUACCAAAGCCUUGGUAACACUUUGCAGGAUUCUGGAAGCUCUUCCCUAACCUGUUGAAGAAAAGGUCACACCUCUCUCUAGGGCAUGGGUACUCCAUUUUCCCUCUUCUCUAAGAGCAUGGCUCCCUGGGAUGACCAUUUUUCCCACCAUCUUUGUCUCUCUGUCUCUAUCUCUCUGUAUCUGUGCCUCUGUCUCUGUCUCUAUCUCUCUUUCACACACACACACACACACACACACACACACACACACACACGUGUGGAGAGAGAGACUCAUAGUGAAUACCCAUACUAUAGAGAAGUGAAUCAUUCACUAAACAACCCCAUCCUCAACAACAUAGAAGCCACGAGAGUAUUGGAGAGGUUUGGAAGAUGCCAGUGACCCAAGAUCAGCACGUAGCAGACAACUGAUUAUGUCAGUCAGCACUGGUGAAUAACAGCAGAGGCCAGAGUGAGCAUUGGGGGUCAUAUUUGCUUAGAAACUUAUGGAUUUUAAUGGGGCUAAAGGACUUCUUAUCUGUAAUUCCUCUACAUCACCCAAGAUUUCUGCUUUCAAGUAAAUCCUUCUCUGAGGCUGCUUUCUGGAAACGAGCCAACAGAUGCAGAAGAGCAGCCCGUGGGUCUAAUGGGUGAAGUCAAAUACACCCUAAUUGCAAAUGGACAAACUCAACAAAGAGCAAAGCUAAUGGGCAGUUAGGUUUCCUGCGUGCAUGGAAAUUCUCUUUAGUGUAAAUUCCAUUAAUUUUUUUUCAUUGAGCAAAUAUUUUUUGAGCACUUAAUGAAUGUCUUGCACUAUGACAGGUGUGUGGAGGAGGCUUUCUGAAGCUGGGUGUAAGCAAGAGAGUGAGAAGGUAGUUUAUUUUAAAGACUGCUCUACUCUCCCUGUAGCAUGAGAAGUGGCCAACUGAAAGUGGCUUAUUAUGGAAAACCAGGAGGAUAGACUCAGCCAGGUGAUAGAUGACAGUGGCUUUAACUAGGAAACAGAAGAAAUGAAGGAAACCAAGUCAAGAGGUGUCCAAUCAGUCAGUCUAAGAUUCCCAUUUAUUUGUGUCCUUCCACAGGGUACCAUGACAGAUGCUACAUAGAGAACAAGGAACAGUCAAAUAAAAAGAUUUUAGUGAUUGAUUGGUCUUAGGGCAUUAGGGAGAGGGGAAUUUAUGGACUGUGCAAUAUACUUCGGUAUGAGCAAAUGGGGAGAUGAAGGAACUGUUCCUGAUGAUAAUCAAAUGAGAGAAAGAAGGGUUGAAGGGAAGAAGGAUUUCCCCAUUUGAUUCACUGAACAAGAAUCAACUACAGAGUUUUUAUAUAUGGCUAUCCAGUAAAUAUUUGGAUCUGUGAGCUGUGACCCAAGAGAGAAACCUCUCCUGGGAUUAAGAGGAAAUCAAAGCCAAACCUGUAAUGGAUACAGCGGAAAUGAACAGGGAUUCAUGGGCCAAUGAGAAGAUACCUCCAGAGGAGCAGGCAAAUCGAGUGAGCAUGUUGCUACAGAAGCCCAGAUGAGGAGAACAGUAUUCAGUGGGCAGGGAACGCUGACUCUUGUGGUGGGUAGGCUGAACACUACACUAGGACAUACAGCAACAAGGUUACCAGCAACCUCUGAGUGUCAGUUAGGAGGAACGACAGACAGAGACACUAGAAUGCUCCGGGAGUGGGCAGAGUGGGGCCUGGGAGAUGAAUAGAAACUGGGAACAAUGCUUUCUGGAAGUUGAAGAAGAGAAAAUAAGGAAGUACCCACAGAGGAAACUUUUGGGGGAGUAGACAGAUUUUUCUACCACUGCCAUUGCUAUUGUUUGAUUUGUUUUUCAUUAACUGAUCCUACUAAGAGAGUAAAAAGGUAAAAAUGGUCAGAACAAUGCCCUAAAAGUGGUGAAGAAAUUGUUUUGUAGAUAGAAUUAAGGUCCUUAGGGUAGAGCCCCGCAAUUCACUGCAGGUGGCUUCAUAAGACGAGGGAGAGGCUGUAAGAGCUGCUCACCUUCCCUGUGUCUUGCCACAUGAUCCCUUUACCACCUUGGGAUUUUGCCGGCAAGAAAGUCAGAGGCAGCUAUUUAAUCAUAAAUAAGAACCAUGAGUGUAGAUCAGAACCAUGAGUGCCAGGUGGUGUGGAAGGGUUCAAAAUGGGUAGGACACAUGACAAAUAGAACUCUGAUUGCAAGGGUUCUCCAUAGGAAUGGAACCAACGGAAUACAGACCCAUGAAUCCCAGAAGUGGGUUUUAUUAGGAUAAUUGGCUUGAGUGGUUAUAAGGCUGGAGACGUUUCAUGAUAUACCUUCUGUGAUCUGGUAAGCCAGUGAUGUGGCUCAGCCCGAGCCCAGUGGCUGCAGAUAUAGAAGCACCAAUCUCAUAACUCAUCCUGAUCCAUAGUCCCAAGAAGCUAAGAGACAACUGUGCACAUUCCAGAGUCCAAAGGCUGGAGAAACUAUAUGCCGAAGGACAGGAGUGGAAUAUCCUAGCUUUAGAGGGAGAGAAUUGCUUUUCUGCUCUGUCAUUUCCUCUCUGUGAGCUCAGCUAAUUGGGUAAUACCCACCUACAUUGAGGGCAAAGAUCUAGAUCCCUGUCUCUUCCCAAAUCAUCCUCAAAGACAUCCCAUUAGUGAUGCUCUACCAACUAUCUCAGCAUCCCUUAGCCCAGUCACAACUGACAGCUAUAAAGAGCCAUCACAGGGCCAAAUGAAUGCUGGGAUGAUUUCUCCUCAUCCCAGAAUUAGAGAAGUAGGUCAUGAAGCAAGCUGGACUUUGGUGUGUGGUACAGGGGGGAUUUCGUUGAUGUGUGUUUAUGCGUCUGUGUGGUGAGGAAUUACAUAGGUAAGGAUUUAGUAUGUGCAUGGUGGUGGUGGGGUUGCCUAGAUGAAGAUUAGGUGUGUAUGUGUGUUGUGUGCUGGUAUGUCAAAGGUAUUGCCUAUAUGUGAUUGUGUGUGUGUGUGAAAGGGGGUGCCUAAUUUGAAAUAAUAGACCUUAAGUAACAAAGCUGAUUAGGGAAAAAAAGUAAAUAUACAAAAGUCUGUCUACAGGGCAGGGAAAGUCAAGGAACCAAAAAGGAGAGCUUUAAAUGUGACCAGAAAACAGACCUACCUUAAGGCAUAAUUUAGGCACUGGGAAUUUGACAUUCUUCAGUAAGUAUAUUGGCAACACAAUUGGACAACGAAGAAUCCACCUACUCUCCUCCUACUCAUAUUGCUUCUUUUCUCCUUCUUCUUCUUUCUCCUUUUUUUUUUGGGGGGGUGGGGAAUCACAGGAUGGAGGCAGACCUAGGAGAACUGAGAAGUGAAUGUAAUCAGGGUACAUUUCCUGAUUUCCAUUUCCAAAAUCAGGGUGAAUUUCCAAAUAAUCAAUAAAAAAUAUAAUAAAAAAAUAAUAAAACAUAGUUUAGGAAAUAGCUAAAUACAAUCAGAAGAGUUAAGGGAGGGUAGACAUUGAACAUUAAUAAAGCUUCUGAAUAGAAGUUUUCACAGAAAAGAGCCCCCUCCAAAAAAACAAAAAAAAACAAAA